This 47823-nucleotide long non-coding RNA is filed under the name Malus domestica (apple). Its description in RNAcentral is "long non-coding RNA (MDOM_LNC007035)". Lineage: Eukaryota; Viridiplantae; Streptophyta; Magnoliopsida; Rosales; Rosaceae. The record is from RNAcentral.
UUUUACAUUGGUUUCGAUUGCAAAAGGCCUUCACUCAACUGAGUAUAAUACUAUAUGUUGGGUGGUCAUGUUAAAAAUUUAGCUGAUCAAAGAUGUAACCGAAAGGAUUGUAUUAUUGAAAAGAAAUCACAUUGAAAACCCGACUGAUUAGGUCAACCCCGUGUAGGUUAUCUUUCACUUCAUAAUCUCGUAUAGUAGUUUGGAAUUGAGUUGAGUUUCUGAUUUCGUUUUACAUAAGUAAAAUGAUAUGAGUUCCCAAGUUUAGUGUCUGUUCAUCUUGUUGUGGGCUUUAGUUAGUAACCGUUAAAUGUUUAAAGCAGCAGCAAAGACUGCUACUUUCAUCCAUUAACUAAUGGGAUUUCUUGUUGUUUGCUAUGUAUGGUUGUGUUAGCAAGGAGGACAUAUACACAUCAAAGGUUAAGUACAUCUGCAAAAGAGGGAAGCCAUACCUUUGGGUGCCCGAAAAGGAGUUGCAUAAUGUGGUAAGCUCAUAUCAUAGUGUUUAGACUGAUGAUUUUUACUUUCGGACAUGAAGUCAAGUCAUUAAGUUUUCACUUUAUUUGCCUGCUGGUUGGCUGUAUUUUCUCUAUAGUGUGUGUUUGAGAUUUCUCUUGAUCAAGUACACAUGUCCUCCGAAAAAGAGGAAUAAUUUUAUUGUCUGGUAGCAGGCACCUUGUGCAUGGGGACGAAGCUUUAGUCAUUAAAGCUGUUAUCCUCAUUUUCUUUUCCUUCUCUUGCAGAAUGUAGUUGUUGAUGAGCGCUGUUCAUUUGCUGUCACCAAUCCCAUCCCAGGUCCACUGGCAAGCUUACUUAGAUCAUUAAGAAAGGUAUUCAAUUUUGAGUUAUGUGACACCCUUCCCUCUUUUCCCAGUUAUAACUACUUUACAGACAGUUUUUUCUACCCCAAGAUUUGUCAAAAGAUUUUUCUUCCAUAAAGCAUGUGAAUAUUUGGAAUAAUAUUGAUGUGAUGCUGCAUAAGGUACGUGUAUUUGAGAAAGUAUUUCCUUUGUGCAUAUAAAUCUAAUAGUUGAUUGUUCUAAAUUUGCAGACACCGCCUCGAAUUGCCCUGACUGGCGAAGUUGUGCCUCUAACUGAGGAAAAGGUAAUCUUAUUCUACCCCUACUUUACUUUUCUGAGCAUUCUGAACUUGAAUAGAUUUGAUUUCCAACUCAUGGGAUCCAUGUUCUUUGUCACGAAACCGUGUCUUUUCUUUUUAUAAGUGUAGGUUUACUUUACUGCUUUGUUCGAUUCUAUGAUUCUACAACCGUUGACCUUUAUUUUAAAAAAAAAAAAAAAAAAAAAAAAAAUUUCAACACAUUCUUAACUAACUAUGCCUUAAAUCACACUAGGUAUCGUCCCACCUCUAACAUGGUUAUUUUAGGCCGGUUCCUGAAAUAAUCCACUGGAUAAGGGAAAAUCAAAACAAAGGAGGAACGGGGCAUUGAGAAUAUUAACUCCUCAUUCACUGAUGAUAUUCAUCAGGUUUUGAAGGAGCAGGACAUUGGAAAUAUUAACCUUCAUUGAUGAUUUUCAUCAGCUUAAGUUGGUUGCGAAUAUGUGAUUGAAUUACACCUAAUCCUGCUUAGGUUAAAACUUCUGACCUCAUUAGUAAUAAGCAAUAACGGGAAAUUUGAGCUCUGAAAUUGCUUCAGGAUUAUGGUUACAGUGUUUUCUUUUAAUAAAAUGUUAUUAUUCUUGUUAUAGGUUCAAUCUGCAACAAAAGUCCUUAGAGAAGUCAUACGGUCAGACAGAAAGCAGUGAGUGAGUCCAGUUAUACAGUUUCAGGUAUAUUAAGUUCUUCUGAUCAUAGCUGUACAUCACGAAGCGAAAGCCUUAAGGAGCUCUUGGAAGGCGAUGAAAACUACAUAGUUUACAAGUUCAAUCAAAGGCAAGAACCUUGCCUUCUGGAAUUUAAUUGAAAUCUUUGUCUAAAUUUUGUUGGUAACUGAAUCCAGUGUUUUCAUCAGUAUGUCUGAUUGUGAUUAUCCUAGGGUCAGGUUAGAAUUUGGACAAUUUUCAUAGCAAGUAUUGGAGCAGGUCCAUCUGUUUAUAAACUGAAUUACCAAAUAAACUUUUCGUGUCGUCCCCGUCUAUCCAACCUGAUAAUAUGAAAACCUCCUAGCUAGUUUCAAUAAUUUCAAUCUUUAAGAGGACAACAUAUAGAGCAUUACGCUGCAUUCCAUUAAUACAACUAUGGCUAUAGGUCCCAUCAUUCCAUUAAUACAACUAUGGCUAUACGUUCCAUCAUUCAUGUAGUUCUUUGAAUAUAUUUCCGUACUCUCUUCGAACGAGAGAUAUGUUAUGCUUGACGUAGACUGUGAGACCUGAAAGUUUCAACACCAACGACCUCUGACUCAAAAUAUUUAUUGUCCAGAUCGUGUAUGUAUGUUGAUGGCAGUGGAGACACUCAUAAGAUUGAUACAGAAGAUAUGGCUGCGUCUAAAGCAGAUUUGUUAGGUAGAACCUAUUUGAAAGUGCUUUUAAAGGUUUCCUAUAGCUUGAGAAAAUACGACUUUUGUCAGUUUACUCACACGUAUAAAAUUUUGAUGUAGCUCCUUUGUCUGCCAAACUCAUUGAUGGGAUAAAUCAAAGUGCAGCAAGACGUAGAGCGCUAUGCUUUUCUGCUGUUCAUACUUGAAUGCAAAUGCAAAGGUAGACAAUCUUUUAUUAACUUCUAAUUCUUUGACAAGAUCAAGGGUAGGAUCAGAAACAUAUUAACUCAUUUGUAUACAUGUUGUCAUGGAAGGAUGCAUACAUGCUGUCUAUCGACCGCAAGGGGUUUGAGGUGUUGAGCAAGGUUCCGAGUCCUGGGUUUAAGGAUGGAUUUGGCCAGUUCGAGUGGAAGGAAUUUAGACUGUCAUUGAAGGAAGAGGCACGUGACGUUGAAGCAUUCUGCCGUAAACUUGUGGAAAUGGAAGAGGAGGCUGUAAAGGAGGUUUCAGGCCAUAGUGGUUUAGCAUAAAAAGGUUAAAAGGCAUAGCGGAAAGAUUUCUCGACUGCCCAAACCAUUCACGUAUUGCUUGUUUUUGUAAUGAAUCCUAUAGCUGGAUGAGUUUUGUGAUCCUUUUCCCAUUCCUGCAUUUGUACCACGUCGUCUGCUAAUCUGAGACGAGAGUAAGUCCUUGAAUCCCUGACGGACUUCUCGUUUUGCUAACGUCUAUAUCCCGACUACCAUGAAAUCAUAAUAUAGUUAUGGCAGGAGCCCGGUGGAUGUAUGCGUAUCGAACAACUAAAGCAUGUAGAAUUAAAGGCCGGACUCAAAAGCCGGCGUACUUAUAAGGGAGUCAAGGGACUAAUGCUACAGAACUAACAGCCUCCUUAGCCUCAGCGGACUCAGCUGCUUUGCCGACUUCGUUCUGUAAUUGACAGGUUCCUUCCGUCACUCCCGACUGCCAUACAAGUCUCGCGCAGGUAAAGGCGACUUCUGGCGGCAGCCAAUCUGUCCCACCCUAAGUCGAGCUUCUGAGAAAUCCCAAUUGCUUGAGCGAGAGGAAAAACAGAGACGGUGAAAUUGGUAAAAAUAACAUAGUAAAGAUAAAACUCGAACAAGCAGCAAUUUGACCAUGAGGGCAUAAUCAAACAGUAAAUCUAAGAGAAAUAAUUUACAAAGUAAAUAGGCUUUCAUUGGCUAAAUACAGCGAUACGGUGUUCAACAAAAUGACCAAGAAAACAUCCUACAUCUUGGAUUUUAAAAUCCCAUAAAAGUAAACGAUUUCAAACCUUAAACUUAAAUACACAUUCACUAGCUUCACCUCCACCACUUCCUUCAAAGCACACAUCUUGGAUCGACGAGAACCGCUUAAUCAACUUCUUCGAUCUUGGGACCAGCACUGCUGCCACCAGCAGGAGGAACAUCUUCAUCCAUGCCGCCACCGACAUCAGGUCCACCAGCACCACCCUGGUACAUCUUGGCAAUGAUCGGAUUGCAGAUGCUCUCCAGCUCCUUCAUCUUGUCCUCAAACUCGUCGGCCUCAGCAAGCUGGUUUCCGUCAAGCCAUUGGAUGGCCUGGUCAAUUGCAUCCUCAAUCUUCUUCUUGUCAGCUGCGUCUAGCUUGGAGGCAAUCUUAUCGUCCUUGAUCGUGUUCCUCAUAUUGUAGGCGUAAUUCUCCAGAGCAUUCUUGGCCUCCACCUUCUUCUUGUGCUCCUCAUCUUCUGACUUGUACUUCUCAGCCUCUUGAACCAUCUUUUCAAUUUCUUCCUUCGACAAUCUUCCCUUGUCAUUGGUGAUGGUAAUCUUGUUCUUCUGCCCUGUAGUCUUGUCUUCAGCCGAGACGUUCAAUAUACCGUUGGCAUCAAUAUCAAAGCAGACAGUGAUUUGCGGAACACCCCUUGGAGCAGGAGGAAUGCCAGAAAGCUCAAAUUUUCCCAACAAGUUGUUAUCACGAGUCCUUGUCCUUUCACCCUCAUAUACUUGGAUCAAGACACCGGGCUGAUUGUCUGAGUAGGUUGAGAACACUUGCUCCUUCUUGGUUGGAACAGUAGUGUUCCUUGGAAUCAACACAGUCAUCACACCUCCGGCAGUCUCCAAACCAAGGGACAGAGGAGUGACAUCCAGAAGCAAUAGAUCCUGCACCUUCUCAUUACCCUCACCGCUCAAGAUGGCAGCCUGCACGGCGGCACCAUAAGCUACAGCCUCGUCUGGGUUGAUGCUCUUGCAUAGCUCCUUGCCAUUGAAGAAGUCUUGCAACAACUGCUGUACCUUCGGAAUCCUAGUAGAGCCACCCACUAGCACAACAUCAUGGACCGUGCUCUUGUCCAUCUUUGCAUCUCUCAAACACUUCUCAACGGGCUCCAUACACUUUCUGAAGAGAUCCAUGUUAAGCUCUUCAAACCUGGCACGGGUAAUGGUUGAGUAGAAAUCAACACCCUCGUACAAAGAAUCAAUCUCAAUUGUGGUCUGAGCAGUGGAGGAGAGAGUCCUCUUUGCCCUCUCACAAGCAGUUCUCAACCUCCUAAGAGCUCUUGGGCUGCUGCUGAUGUCCUUCUUGUGCUUCCUCUUGAACUCUUGAACAAAGUGAUUCACCAUUCUGUUGUCGAAAUCUUCUCCUCCCAAGUGGGUGUCUCCGGCAGUUGCCUUCACUUCAAAGAUACCCUCUUCAAUUGUGAGCAGGGAGACAUCAAAAGUGCCUCCGCCAAGAUCGAAAAUCAAGACAUUCUUCUCCCCAACGCUGGUUGCCUUCUUGUCAAGACCGUAUGCAAUAGCGGCAGCGGUGGGCUCAUUGAUAAUACGCAAAACAUUAAGGCCGGCAAUGACCCCAGCAUCCUUUGUGGCCUGACGCUGAGAAUCGUUGAAGUAAGCCGGGACAGUAACAACGGCAUUCUUUAUAGAUGAGCCAAGAUAGGCCUCAGCAAUCUCACGCAUCUUGACGAGAACCAUGGAGGAAAUUUCUUCAGCAGCGAACUGCUUCUCUUCGCCCUUGUAUAUGACAACAAUCAUGGGCUUGUCACCGGGGCCGGGAAUGACCUUGAAAGGCCAGUGCUUCAUGUCACCCUGGACAGAAGGGUCAGAGUAUCUCCUACCAAUCAACCGCUUGGCAUCUGAAAAAUUAACCAAGCUCGUUUAAAAUACUAAUUUAUUAAUUACGCAUAACACAGAACAUGCUACCAAUCAAGCUAAAUCCUUUAAAUAUUAUCAAAAAUAAAAAUAACCAAACAGAUCAAGCUUCAAACACUACAAGCUCAGACAGCGUUUCUAAAAUUUCACCAUCAAUUAACAAGAAACUUAAAACCCAAAUUAUAAUUUUUAAGAGAUUAACUAAAACUCAAAGCCUUGAUCACCAAGUACAAUAUUUGAUAGUCCUUUAAUAUUAACUACAUAAAUCCUGCAAAUAACAAUAAAUAAAAAAAUCAACCAUUUUUUUUCUUUUUCAAUUCGCUAUAAAAAGAUUCAAGGCAGGCAAAAACCUCGCAUAAAAUUAGCUCCAUCGUAAUUUAUCACACCGAACCUCAAAAAGAGAAGUACUUUCAAGGAAAUUGAACUCUUUUUCUCAGAAAUUCAAGCAACAGAAAUCCAAAAACAGAAAAAUUUAAACCAGCAGCAAAUAUUGACAGUAAAUUCAUAAAAUCAGCCAUACAAGCAUAUAGAUCAGACAGUACAGAGUAAAAUUGAUUCAAAAAACGCAACAUGCAAGGCAACAAAAAAAAAAACAUCAUAACAUCAGAAAUAUCGCAAGAAAAGAGAAGAAUUUCGAUUCUUACCAAAGACGGUGUUGACGGGGUUCAUCGCUACCUGGUUCUUGGCCGCAUCGCCGAUCAACCUCUCCGUGUCAGUAAACGCCACGUAAGACGGAGUCGUCCGGUUGCCCUGAUCAUUGGCGAUGAUCUCGACACGAUCGUGUUGCCAAACACCGACGCACGAGUAAGUGGUUCCGAGAUCGAUCCCGAUCGCUGGCCCCUCUCCCUUUCCCGCCAUUGCAACCGCAGAGAUUCAAGCAAUCGAACAAGCAAAGAAUCGCAGAUAAAAUUAAAGAUCGAACCGCAGAGAAAAGUAAAGAGCUUCUGAGAUUUUUUGUGCAAUGGGCUGUUCGUAGUCACAGGUGUUGGAUUAAGAGUAGUGAAUUGGGGGGCUAUAUAGUAGGACACUUGUCUAGAAUGUUCGUGAGGAUAUUGACGAUUUUUGGUGGGAGGGUGUCCAGAAUGUUCGGUUUGAUAACGGCCGUUGGAUUCGAGUGUCGUGGACGGUGAUGAUUUGAUUUGCUUCGCGGGGUUGGUUUCUUUACUUUUUGAUCGAAACUUCGUGUCCACUCCCUUCGUCGUCGGAAAUUUGUCUUCUCGUCAAUUUCCUUGUUGGAAAACGUUUCACAGGACGGUGGCGUUUUGCGUGUGGGCUGUGACUUGACUUUUGGGCUUUCGAAGGGCUUUGAAUCCAAACGUGUUUGGGUCAGGCUGCACUGCAGUCCUUAUGGUAUGUGUUUGUGCAAUACUGUUUACAAUUGCUUUUGGACCAAAUGUAAUGGUUGAGUUAAAGCUUAAAAUUUAAGAAAAAUUAAUGAAAAUGAUUUGAAAACUUUAAGUUUUAACAAUAAAGAUAAAAUAAAGGGUAAAAUGAAUAGUAUCAGGAUUGACUUUUUAGUGUAAAAAUAUGAUUUUUCGUUAAAUUGAACAGUACUGUGAGCUUUUCGUUAAAGUUCUCUAAAAUUUAAUCUUUAUAUUAUAUCCCCCAAGGCAUUUCCAAUUAUUACUCUCUUUUAGUAUUUUUUGGCAUCAAUCCUUGGUAAAAUGCAAGUGAGUCAUGUGAAAGCACUUUAAGUGCUUUUAGGUCUCGUUUGGCAGUUCAGACUAUACUGACUAUUUCAGUCGGAUAGAAUAAUCUAUCACCGGAUUGUACUGACUAAAUUAAUUGAGUGUUUGGUGCAGUAUCAUACUAAUUACCGUAUUAUUUAUAAUCUAUUUGUUACCGUAUCCGAUACGAGAUCGGAUUAUAUUAUUUUUACUAAAAAAAUUUGAUGACUAAUGAAAAAAAGGAAAUAAUUUUUUGAUAAAAAUUCAGAACAACCAAAUGCAUCAAAUUAAAUAAAAAUAAUCUUGAUAUUGCAUUUUCUAUUUGUCCUUUAUUUAAAUCAAAUUAUUAAAAAAAAAAAAAAUCAUUUCUUCCCUAGAUCUUCUCCACUGCACAUGAUUCACCAUACCAAAUGGGAUGGACAAUAGAAUCAGCAUAAACCCUAUACCCAAUAGCAUGAGACUUCUUCCCAAAUGUUCUAUGCAUGUGAGAUUGCUCCCUGAUCUCUCACAUUUCUUUCCAUGAGGAGUCAACCCAAUUCCAACGAUGCUGCAGCGAUGUUGAGCAGUAGGUGAAUGCAGGCGGUGCUCCGACGACGUGGGUUUCAGUUGGAUCUAGUUCAAAUCUAGGAUCGAUGGCACGCGAACCCGUGCAGGCAGAGCCGGCCCUGCGGGUGUACAACAGGUGCCACCGCACAAGGCCACCAAUUCGGAAGGGCCCCUAAAUUUUCAUUACAUAUAUACAGAUGCAUAUAAAAUAGAUUAGAUGCAAAAAAAUAAUCUUAUCUAUGGUUCUAGCGUAAGCGAUUUAGCUCUUCUUUCUUCUAGCUCAUGUGUUGGGUUUGAAUCCCAAUGAUAUUGUUUUGUUAUAUUUUAAGCUUUUGCAAAUUUGUAAACAGGAGAUAAUUUGUUAUAUUUUAAGCUUUUGCAAAUUUGUAAACAAGAGAUAACAAAAAGGCAUUCAACGUGUAUCAAACUCAGGACCUUUGAAGGUAAGGAAAAACACCUGGCUAAUCAAACAACUUAUUUUUGUUGCAGUAACUUGUAAUAUUUUAGUUUUAUAGAUGAAAAAAUUGAAAAAAAAUAAUAAUAAAGAAAUAUAACAUUAAAAAAAAUGAAGGGCCUCCAUCUAAGUUUUGCACAUGGCCCCUCAUUACUCAGGGCCGGCCCUGCGUGCAGGUCCUACAACGAGGAACUGUAGAGGAGGGCGACGGCCGCGACGAGAAACUAAAGAGGAGGGCGACAACUAUAAAGUGCAAAAGGAAGAAGAAGAUGAAGAAGAAAUGAGAAGGAUGAAGAAGAACCUGGGGUUGAAGAUGGAAACAGAAGUGAGUUUGUAGAAUGAUGCGAGAAAGCCAGACCGAUAGAGGGAGGACACAGACCCGACUAAUAAUACAUAGGUUUUUGGAAGGAUAAAUAGCGGCCAUACACCGGAUAAAAGAUGUAGGCCUAGUUUAAGUAAUACGGGUACUAUUUAGUACAUAGUUGCACCAAACACCCGGCUCCAUAUAACUUAUCCUAUAUGAUUCCUUGUACAACUCACAAAUGAGGCCUUAGAACCCGAAAAUAUUUUCACUAAAAGUCAUUUCAUUCAUUUUAAAAGCACUUCCAAAAAAGCUCUUAAUAAAGCAUAAUGAUUGGAAAUGUUUGGGAGGGACAUUGCAUUUGAUCUAAAAGCAUUUCUAAACUGAUUCAUCAUGUAUUGCACAAACACACACCAUAUGAACUGUAGUGAAUCAAAUUUCACGCAACAUACUCUAUAAAUACCUAUGUAUUUAUUCAAACAUCCACACAAAAUUAGGAUAAUCUACAUAAUGUGUAGAAAUGAUUUUUCAUAUGUGUAUGAACUUGUGUUUAAGAAUGGGGUGGAUUUGUGUGAUUUUUUUUAUUAUUUAUUAGAAUUCUAAUAUUUUUAGCUUAAAAUAUAAAUAAAAAUAAAUUAGUAUAAUCUACGUAAUUUUUUUUUUAAAUUAUCGUGAAAAAAAUUAAGCUAAAAUUAAUUUUUAAUAAUUUGGGGCUUCAAUUAAAAAAAGCCAUAACUAUUGGAAGUAAAAAACUUUUUAUAGGUUAUACCUUAAAAUUUCAUGUUUAACUCACACCAUUGCACAUUGUUUUACAACUGAUUUUAUAAUGCUCAUUAGCGUUUCUUCUACAAGGAACUACUGCUACAGAACUAAUAGCCUCCAUAGCCUCAGCUGCUUUGAUGACUUAUAACUUCUCCAAAGCAGAUGUCAAAAUUGCCACAUAGACAUAUACUCGAACCGAGCCUUCAAUUUCCUAUACGGCGUUGAGUCAAUUGAAGACAAAGUAUUCUGUUGUCAAAUCCAUUUAGUAUUUUUCUAAUAAAUUUAAUGCAAAUAUAAUAAACGUUGUGUAUUCUAAGAAUUUGAUUGGUUGCCUACAUAAAUAGACCCCACAAAGUGAUUAAUUUUUUUUUAAAUGACAUUAUUGUUUAACAUAUCGGGUGGUAAAAAGAAUUACUCCACAAAGUGAUUAAUUUUUUUUAAAUGACAUUAUUAUUUAACAUAUCGGGUGGUGAAAAGAACAAUAAAGACAAAAUUCAAACAGGAAAUCUGAGAGAAUUUUGUAAAAAAAAAAAAGGCUUCUUUGGCAAAAUACCGGAAUACGAUAUUGAACAAAAUGACCAAAAUCACCAAACAUCCUACAUCUUGGAUUUUAGAAUCCCAUAAAAAAGUACCCAAUUCCAAACCUUAAACUAAGAAACAGAAAAAUACGUUCACCACUUUCUUCAAAGCAAACACUUUGGAUCAACAAAAACCGCUUACUCAACUUCUUCGAUAAUAAUAUUGGGACCAGCACCGCUGCCAGCAGCAGGAGGAAAGUUCCCCCAGCACCCUGUUCCCUGGUACAUCUCGGCACUGAUCGAAUUGCAGAUGCUCUCCAGCUCCUUCUUCUUUUCCUCAAACUCGUCAGCCUCAGCAAGCUUGUUUCCGUCAAGAAAAAGAAAGUAUCUCGAUUCUUACCCAGGACGGUGUUGACGGGGUUCACGGCGACCUGGUUCUUGGCCGCAUCGCCGAUCAGCAUCUCCGUAUCAGUAAACGCCACGUAAGACGGCGUCGUGCGGUUACUCUGAUCAUUAACGAUGAUCUCGACGCGGUCGUGUUGCCAAACACCGACGCACGAGUAAGUAGUUCCGAGAUCUAUACCGAUCGCUGGCCCCUCUCCCUUUCCCGCCAUUGCAACUGCUGAGAUUUAAUCCAUCAAACAAGCAAAGAACCGCAGAGAAAAGUAAAGAGCUUUUGAGAUUUUUGGGCGAUAGGUAAAGAAACUUAGCUAGGAACAAAUCUCAGUUUGUAAAAAUUUCCCGCCUUUUUGUAAGGUAAUGCUAGGGAGACUAAAUUUACAAAUUAAAUUAUGUAUUAUCAACAAAAAUGAGUACCUUUAUUCAUGUUUAAGUAAUAAAUCAAUUAUCAACUUCUAUGUUCUUUAGUUUUCAAAAUUUAGUAUACAAAUUUAGUCUUUCAAACAUUUCUCUUUUUUGCAUGUCCAUGUGGAAUACCAUUUUCCCAUCAUAGGUAGGGUUUUUUUUUCUUUUCCCGUUCACGCAUAAAGACAUUCUUAUAGUAACAAUACGCUAAGGUACAAUGUCUAAUUUUAAUAUUUGUACUUAUCAAGAGACAUUCUUUCAUUUUAAUUUUUUUUAGUUGAAAAUUUGUAUGAACUUUUACACCGUUAUAUUUAAAUUAAGAUACUGCAAGCCUCUUAACUUGAAAAGAGAAAAACGCAUAAAGCCUAUUAAACCAUUAUUUAACUGAUAAAAUAGUAUAUAAUAAAGAAGUUAGUAGAAAACCUAUCGUAAAUACAAACAAAAUGACUUGCACCAAAGCCUAGUAAACCAAAAAGAAAUGAUGAGAAUGUAGAGAGGAUAUUAAUAUUUGUAAAUGUAAAGAACUAAGGGGGUGUUGUUGCGCAGGACUAUCUCAGACUGGACUAGCUUUAAGGACUAAGCUGGACUAGUUUAGACUAGACUAAGCUGGACUAACUUAGUGAAGCGUUUGAUGCAGUGUUGGACUAAGAAGUUGGAUAAUAACAAAUUCUAAUAUUAUAAUAUUUUAUUAUGAUCUAGGUGACCGGAGAUGACGAGGAGUCUAUCGGGAGUGGUUGUUGAGCAUGAUGAGGACGAGAGAGGAUAGUCUUAGCUAGUCCCAUGAUUAUUGGGGGUCUCGCUAAGACUUCUUAGUGAAGGAUUUUGUCCAUGUUAGUCCCCUUUAGUCUCAUUAAUGUUAGUCCCAGCAUGGAACAAACACAGUAUUGGACUAACAGCUAGUCCAAUCCAGUCCAAUCCCACUUAGUGAGGGCAAACAAACGCCCCCUAAAUGAAACGUACACCCAUUACUGGUCCAAAUCUGUAAUCCUUAUUUUAGAUUGCUAAAAUGAAACUGAAAAUGAACGAUGCUAAGUAUACAUGUAUGCUGUCUUUGCUUGCGAAACUCAAGCAAUUUGCUAAAGCUGAGAAACUCUAUACUGAAUAGAACUCUAUUUCGGAGACACUAGGGUUUCAAAUAUACUCCUUGCAGCAUACAUCAAAGAAAACCAAACGAAAGUACUGAAACCUUUUGUUUAUACCAUAUUUAGGGCCUUGUAUUUAGACCUCGUAUAAAUACUCAGGAGACUUAAAUGUAAUUAUGUAAUAAAGGAAGGGGUAAAUAUGUAAUUAGGGGAGGAGCCCUUAUUCUAUAAAAGGGCCUCCUCACCCUCACAAACGGGGGGGGGGGGUCUCUCCUCAUCCCUCUCAAAGCUCUCACUCUCAGAGCUCUCUCUCCCUCAUUUCUCAGAGAAAUAUAAUACAAUCUGUGUUGACGUAGCCCAAACCUUGGGGUGAACCACGAUACAUCUUGUGUCAUUUACAUUACUUGCAGAUUCACGGUCGGAUUUACGUUGUUCCAAGACCUCCGGUUUUGUGCAUCAACAUUUGGCGCCGUCUGUGGGAAACGACACGAAAAGUUAUGUCGGUUCUCUCUCAAAUUUUCAUCUCACCACCGUGAAACCCUCACAACCUCCACCAUGAAUCUGUAGAAACCCAAUAACCAAACACCUAGAGAGUCACUGCAAAACCCAUGUCUUCCGUUCCAGCUCCCGGUCACGGCAGAAGCGAUGGAAACACAACCACCACCUCAUCUCUCUCUCUCUACAUUUUCUGUGCAGAUCUUGAGACCUAAAUCAGAACAUAAGCAUCAAUGUUACAAACUAAACCUGCAUCAGAAAAUAGAGCCUCAGUGCUUCUCAGCCGUUGGAUCCAUAGCGAAGCUCACCAGCUUCACCAUUUUGCUCGCCUUCUUGCUUUCCUGCUUCACUUUUGCUUCUACACAAACUCAAAAUCCCAAAUGGAUUUCAAGCUCCAAGCUCUGCUGUGCCUUGUAGUUCUUCAAGUUCUGGUCUUCUUCUCAAAGGAAGCAGAAGCAGCAGAACACAGCCAUGGCAGCAACUUGAGAGUCCACAAGAAGUAAGUGAGCAGCUGCAAUUUGUUCCAAGGCAAUCAAGGUUUUCACCUACCUUCGAAUCUGCCAUCUUAGUUAGAAGUCCACAAUCAAAUGAACUCCGAAUCCUCGAAUUCAACCGCUGCAGUUCUCUGGGCUCGAGGAUAGGUUGUGGCAGAAAUAACGAAAAAAACAGCCACUGAUGAUGCUGCAAACUCGCCACGGCCACCAGUGGAAAACCAACGAAAAAGGCCAAGAUGCGGAGGUUAGUGCAUCAACACACUUUGUUCCUUAAAGUCAAGGUCCGAGGAGCUGGCUGCGGGAGGAAGAAUGGGGCUGAUCUGGUUUGGAAGGAGUGGCCCAGAUCAUGUCGACAGAGGUAACAGUUUCUUCUGGCAGCCAAAAUUAAAGGUCCACUUCUCUUUCCUCUUUACACCAAUCACCAAAGUCAUCAUCCAUGGCUGCCUCAUCCUCUUCUGCAACCUUCAAGAAGGUCUCUUUUUGCCACCCUUAGCUUGCACAGCCCGCAACCAUCUGCCGCCUACUGCACCACCAUCUUCUCAAGUAGACAGCCACAUCCGGUUUCGUCAGGUCCAUACACGUGUCGCUGCAACUACAGACGCAAAUGGAGACGCCACUGUUUCACGUAGUGAACGGCAGCAAGUUCCAUGACUAUGAGCCGGUGAAGAGCCCACCUGGGCUGUUGCUGGUGUAUGUGCUGUUAUCAUCAUCAUCUCAUUAAUUUUGGAGAAGGUCCUACACAAAGUUCGAAAAUUCUGCACCUAAAAAGAAAUGGAGGGCACGACAAAAGAAGAAGAAAAUGGAGGAAAGGAAUAAAGAAAGAAAAAGGUGUUAGUGGAAUUGUAAACAAUUCCACAAAGAAGUGGAAGACUAUUCUGCACCUAAAAAGAAAUGGAGGGCACGACAAAAGAAAAAAAAAAUGGAUGUCUAGAGAAAAGCAGAAAGUAAAAGCAAAAAGCAAAAGAAGAUAUAAAGAAGUAGACAUAAUUGCAGUGGUGAUGACAUGUAGAAAAGGGAAUUAUGGGCGUGACCCAUUGAGCAGAGGGUGGGCUUUAUUUUUGAAUGAUGUGAUUUAUUUUUUUUAUCUCUAAGAAAUAUCUGUAUAAACCACAUCAGAGGGUAAUAAUACAAAAAAAAAAAAAAACGGCAAAGCCCAAAAUUAAUGGGCUGGCAUGUCAUGGAGGGCGAAUGCCCAUAAGCCCAAAAUAGCACCAACCAGGUGACCAAAAGUAUGCCCAGUACUCCAAAAAUUAUUCGGCAACUUGCCUCUAUUAUCACCAACCAGGUGACCAAAAGUACGCCCAGUACUCCAAAAUUAUUCGGCAACCUGCCGCUAUUACCACCAACCAGGUGAUGAAAUGUACAACCCGUACUCCAAUAUCAUUUGGCAACCAACCAUUCAUACCACCAACCAGGUGAUGAAAUGUACAAACCGUACUCUAAAAUAAUUUGGCAAUUAGCCAUUUAUGCCACCAACCAGGUGAUCAAAAGUACACCCAGUACUUCAAAAUUAUACAUGAGCACUACUCAUGUCAUUCGUACAUAGACAUUCAUGAGCAUCACUCAUAUCAAUCAUACAUAAACAUUUAUGAGCAUCACUCAUGUUAACAUUCAUGAGCAUCACUCAUGUUAACAUCCAUGAGCAUCACUCAUGUCAAUCAAACAUUCAUGAGCAUCACUCAUGACAAUCAGCUUCAAAAGUUUCAUUUACAAAGCCUUAGCUUCAAAAGAGUCAUUUACAAAAGCUCUAGCUUCAAAAGCUUCAUUUACAGAGCUCCAACUUCAAAAGCUUCAUUUACAAAAGCUCUAGCUUCAAAAACUUCAUUUACAGAGCUCCAGCUUCAAAGCUUCACUUGCAAAGCUUCACCUACAAAGCUUCAGUGCAUGGUCUACAAAGACCGCCUCCGAACAACCGCCAUUUCAGCCCAUACAUGGAUUGAAUUUGAAGUCUCCAGCCAACAUCGUCUAUUGACCGAAGACUUGGGGGACUACAUUAUGUACCAUAUAUUAGGCCUCAACUGGGCCUUAUGAAAAAUACUUGGGGGACUCUAGCCCAUUAUUCAUGUACUGAGGAGCGAGCCCUUAUUUUAUAAAAAAGGACUCCCUCACCAUCAUUAGAGAGCAACGCCGCCAGCUGAACAACCGUCUCGCCGCCAGCAUCAACUCUAGCCUAUUAUUUAUGUAUUGAGGAGCGAGCCCUUAUUCUAUAAGAGGAACUCUCUCACUUUAAUUAGAGAGCACCCAUUAUUCAUGUACUGAGGAACGAGCCCUUAUUUUAUAAAAGGGACUCCCUCACCUUCAUUAGAGAGCAACGCCGCCAGCUGAGCAACCGUCUCACCGUGAGCAUCACUCCGAACCCAUAUUUAUGUAUUGAGGAGCAAGCCCUUAUUCUAUAAAAUAGACUCCCCUCACCACCAUUAGAGAGCAUCAACUCUAACCCAUCAUCCAUGUAUUGAGGAGUGAGCCUUUAUUCUAUAAAAGGGACUCCCUCACCUUCAAACGCUGCAAGCCGAGCUAACCAAGGCAACAUAAGCCACGAGCCGAGCAGCCUCGCAGCGUGUGCUACUUCUAGUUGAGCGUCAUUUUAGAUUGAGCACUGCCUCAUAUCGAACAUCAGUUCAAGACAGCAUCUAGUUACUUCGGCCCACACAUGGACUGAAUUUCAAGUCUCCAGCCAAAAGACUCUCUUGACUGAAGACUUGGGGGACUACUGUUUAUACCAUAUUUAGGGCCUCGUAUUUAGACCUCGUAUAAAUACUCGGGGGACUUAAAUGUAAUUAUGUAAUAAAGGAAGGGGCAAAUAUGUAAUUAGGGGAGGAGCCCUUAUUCUAUAAAAGGGCAUCCUCACCCUCACAAACGGGGGGGGGGGUCUCUCCUCAUCCCUCUCAAAGCUCUCACUCUCAGAGCUCUCUCUCCCUCACUUCUCAGAGAAAUAUAAUACAAUCAGUGUGGACGUAGCCCAAACCUUGGGGUGAACCACGAUACAUCUUGUGUCAUUUACAUUACUUGCAGAUUCACGGUCGGAUUUACGUUGUUCCAAGACCUCCGGUUUUGUGCAUCAACACCUUUCAUAGUCGGAUGGAGCAAAAUAUACUUCUUUCGUAUUUUCCCUAUGAAACCAACUUCAAAACUGAUAUACAAAUUAAAAAAUUUCAAACAUUCAAUUACCCAAAAACCACAGUGGUGGAAAUCAAGGCCGGCCCUAAGAAUUUAAGGGCCCUAUGCAAGAUUUAGAUGGAGGCCCUUCAUUUUUUAAUACUGUAUUUUCUUUGUUAUUUUUUUUUUCAAUUUGUAUCUAUAGAAUUUAAAUACUACAAAUUAGAGCACCACUUUGAGUGGACAAUUGAGUGUUUCUUGUCUUGAAAGGUCUUCAGUUUGAAAUAUGUUGCAUGGUUUUUUGUGUAAAACUUAACAACUUUUUAAGUUAAUAAAUUUGCAAAACUUAAAAAUAGCAUUUUUUUUCAAUUUGUAUCCAUAAAAUUUAAAUACUACAAAUUAGAGCACCACUUUGAGUGGACAAAAGUGUUUCUUGUCUUGAAGGGUCUUCAGUUUGAAAUAUGUUGCAUGAUUUUUUGUGUAAAACUUAUCAACUUUUUAAGUUAAUAAAUUUGCAAAACUUAAAAAUAGCAAAAUGGUUCUACAAGGACUUGGACUUGGGCCAUGUACAAGAAGAUAGAAUGCCUACACCACUAGCACUAGUGUGGUGAUUAUUAUUAUUUUGCACAUUUAAGUAUAUAAUAGGUAUCUGUUUACAUGUAAAGAAACUUUGGAGGCCCUUCCGAAUUUGGGGCCUUGUGCGGUGGCACUUUUUGCACACUCUCAGGGCCGGCUCUGGUGGAAAUGAAUUGAGCCAUUGCAUGACAGCGUGUUUUCGAACCCCAUCGGUGACUAAUCUAAUAAAACUUAUCGUUUGACAAAAAAAAUUCAAUUACCCAGAAACCAAAAAUGGAAAUUUUAUUAAAUUAAAUUAAAAUAAACUCAUUGGCAAAAGGAACAUAAAAAUGAAAAUUUCUACUAAAUUAAUUAAUACAAACUAAUGCGCAAGAGGAGCAUAAACAACCUUUUGAAUUAAUCUAAAGAGAUACAAACUAAAAAUACCGGUUGUGGAGCAAAAAAUAAUCACAAGGCGACACGUGGAUUCUUGGGUAAAAGAGGACAAAAAUACCCUUGAGGCAUACUGGGAUUCCUACGCGCGAGCAACGGGCAAUCAUCCCUCAACCAAGUCAAAAGUGCCCAAAAUAGGUAACAAUUUAAAGCCUAUUUCAUCAAAUCCUUUCUAUAAGGUAAUUCCUAAAACCUAAUUUAUUCUAUAUAUUUUGUAUUCCAUUAUUUAGCUAAUCAAUUAGCUAAAUGAUAUUUUCCUUUCAUAUUCCCUAAAAAUUGAUUAAUUAAGGGAUUAAUUACCUAAUCAAUCCCUUAAUUAUCAAUUAAAACACCCAUUCACACCUAAAACUACUAAGAGGUCGGCUACCUCCCUUUUCCUAACCUUUUUCACUUUUCUCCAUUUUAUUACCCCAUUUAUACAAAUAAUCAAUUUUGUAACUCCUAAUUAAACCUAAAUUAAACCCAAAAAACCCUAGCCACCUCCUAUCCCUAUAAAUAUACUCUCAUUCUCACCAAAAAAGCCAAUUCCAACACUUUGGCAAAAAUCCCAAAAUUCUCUAAACACUCUUUCUCUCUAAAUUCUAACUUUGGCAUCGGAGGUUCUUCGGCCAAACCCCCCCAUUCAUCGAGGGCGCACGAGGCUCUUGGCCUUAACCUAAGGUGUUAAUUGUUUUGUAGGUGCAAAAUUGUCCAAGAUCAAGGAGGAAGAAAUUUGCAUCCACAAAUUGGUGCUUUCAUUGAGAGUUGAAAUCCAUACUCGUAGAAGACUCUCGCACAAAAAGGUUUUUUCUUUAUUUUCUAGUCCAUUUGAAUAUUUUUCAUACGUUCUUAUUAUUAGAUUUUUUUACUUGCAAAGGUUCUUUGAUAAAACGUAAGCAAAAUAUGAUGGCUAGAAAUUUAGAAAAUCCACAAGUGAAAAUUCUAAUGUUCAAGAAAUGGGAUUGCGGAGAUCCGUGAGGCUAAAUGCGACAAUAAGUGGAGCAGCACCACCACCACGAGUUUCCACCAUGGGAACCACCACGGUGGCAGGGUCUAUGGUGCCUUCACCACGGCUCGAGCCAUGCCAUCCAAGGCUCACGGCCCAAGUCGUGCCAUCCAAGUUUGCACGGGCCCAGGCCCAAGCCUCGCAUUCGCAUGCAUCACAUACUAAGCAGCCUGCUCCAGCCAAGCAACCUGCUCUCGCGGCCCAGCCUGCUCUUGCCAAGCAACCUACUCUCACGGCCCAUCCUGCUCCAGUGGGUUUCCAAGUAGCCCAAGUCGGCCCAAGACUAUCUUAACCAUCCGGACCUACCAUCGAGCCGGGGGCAUUCUCACCAUAUUUUUUCAUGGAUUUGACAUUUCCCAACUUAAAUCUCGCGCCCGGAGUCUACCACCCUUCCACUGCCCAAGGAGGCGCAUUCCUUCCAAGCUUUUCCAAUCCAAAUGGCGAACAACACUUGUCUCGACAAGUCAUAGAGUUGACGAGCGCCCUUGCACAACAGACAACCUUGGUGAAUCAACUUUUGCAACGCAUCGGGAUCCAACGUGCCCGGACGAGGUAUCCCGAAGUAGGACAAAGGCAGACAGACCUUUUCAGCAGUGUCUCGGUAAGCAGCCACUCGACUAGCCACAAGCCGAACGUUUGGGCAGUGUACAUUCCCGUCUUAGCGCGCGGAGAAGCAUGCACUCUCGACUAGGCCCACGGAUGAGCAUACAUUCACAGUUGGGGUCAUACUCCGAUAGUCAACAUGAGUAACCUUCCAGAAAAAUUGUCCAUUCGUGGCUAAGCCCACAAAGAGCAUCAUCCACCUCACAUCAGAGUAGGCAACACGACGGACGGAGAGAAGCAGUCACUCAAUCCAGCUCAAGUUCAACCAGCAGCCUGGGAAAAACUCGUUCGCCUGCUAGGAACGCACCACAUGCACUGCAUCCGCAACAUAGACGAGCCAAACACAUGGAAGAGCAGCCUAGACCAGCAAGUCAUGGCUGGGGGGCAGCCGAGAGCUCCGCUACCCUAACAAAGGCAAAUUCAGGAAGAAGUAGAGAGACUAUUGACCAAGCGAUUGCAUGAUUUCCAACGCAACGAGGUCACCGACGAGGCACUACGACGGAACAUGACCAACAUAAGCAGGUCACCCUUCACAGACGAGAUCGAGCAGGCAGAGCCUCCACGCGAGUUCAGCAUGCCACAUUUCACAUAUUUCAAAGGGGAUGAAGACCCAGAGAGACACUUAAAGCGCUACCGAAGCGCAAUGAUCCUUUAUUGAAACAACGAUGAUCUCAUAUGUAAGAUAUUCGCCACCACUCUACAAGGCGAGGUGCAAGAUUGGUUCUACACCCUACCGCCAUAAUCCAUCCAGAAUUUCUACGAACUUUCUUUGGUUUUCACCAAAGAAUAUUCAUCUUAUCGCCCGAUCAAAAAGAAGGUUGACCAUUUGUUCGACAUCAAGAAGAACCCAAAGGAAUCGCUUCGCGACUAUGUGAGGAGGUUCAAAGUAGAGAAGGCAAAAAUAGUCGGAUGCAACGACUCGAUAGCUAAAGCAGUCUUCCAAAAAGGACUUCCAGCAGACCACCCGCUAUUCAAAAAAUUGAUCAUGAAAGAAGAUCUAACUCUAGCAGACUCUUUUACUUUGGCAGAGAAGCAUGCAUUUUGGGAUGAGGCUUGCCAAUGCACAUUCAAGGACUUGAAGAAGUACCCGACAUCACUUCCAUAGAAGCAGCGGAUGACUUAUUCGCAUGUUUGACGGUAUCUAAAGUAGCAAUAAGCUCUACCAUCAUGCGAGAAGAGCUGGGGGCCCGACUACCUGUAUUCUACAGUUCGAUGCUAUUAAAAAUUUAAAAGCUGACUUUGGCGAUAAUUGUGUAACCCAAAAGCUUAAGUUUUACCUUCAAACGCAAGCAGUCAUCAUCAUGACGCACUAUUCCACCGAAUCCAAACCGACAACGAUAAAGGCGUAGACCCUGCCAGAUGCAAAGUUUUCUGACGAACGUAAGAACUCAGCCUAACGACGCCCCGAAGGCAGUCGAGCACACUUUGGCCACACCUGCUCCCUCAAUGGAGAUUUUUGGGGUUUGCAUGUCGACGGCGCAUCCAACUACGAAAGCUCGCGAGUAGUCGUGGUUCUUGCCACCCCAGACAUUUCAAUGCUCAAGCAGGCGAUCACUCUAAACUUCAAAGCAUCUAACAACGAAGCAGAGUACGAAGCCCCACUAGCAGACCUUCAACUGACAAAAGACUUGGUGGUGAACAAGCUUUCCAUUCAUUCCGAGUUCUAGCUAAUCACCAGCCAGACUACCAGGGGCAAAUGCAUGAUGAUCGUGGAAACCGACUACUUCACCAAAUAAGUAGAAGCAGAGCCCAUGACGAUCAUGUUUCAGACAGACAUAGAGCGCUUCAUAUGAAGGAGUAUCAUUUGUCGAUUUGGCAUCCCUUAAUCUAUCGUCACCGACAACGGCCCGUAAUUUAUGGGCAAAGAUUUGGUGAAGUUAUUCAAAAAAUAAGGCAUCAAGUAGCACAUGUCUACGCCAAGAUAUCCUCAAGGCAAUAGGCGGGCCAAAGCAUCUACUAAGAUGAUCCUCGACUGCCAUAAGAAAUCCCCCACCAAUAAGAAAAGAAAAUGGCCAGACGAACUCCAAGGAUGUCUAUGGGCAUAUCGCACAACCAAAAGACGAGCAACCGAAAGUAGAUGGCCACAAGCUUAGAUCUGGCAGAAGAGAGUCGCGAACAGACUAUCAUUCGCAUUGCAGCCUACCAGCAUCAGCUCCUCUCCAGCUACAACAAAAGGGCCAAGAUCCGGCAGUUCCAACCCGGAGAUCUGGUCAUAAGAAAAACCUUAAUCACUGCCAGCAGAAAAGGCUCCAAAAAUAUGGAUCCCAUAUGGGAAAGUCCGUACAAGAUCAGCAGAGUAGGUGGCAAGAACAAUUACACCCUCGCCACCAUAAAACGACUAAAAGAUCAAAAAACAGUGGAACGCCUACAAUCUGAGGAAGUACCAUGUGUGACAUUUCGCUACAUCAAAGCCCGAAGACUCAAGCAGCUCGACGGGCACUACCUCACCAGCCGAGGAUUAUCCAGUUGUUAUGCAGUUAUUACCUUACAUCUAAGUUCUCGUUCGUUUAACUCAUUUUUCAAUGAGGAAUUCAUAAGUAAUCACGACUUGGCUUGGUUGCAUGCUUACAACAACUGAUCACUCCUGCACUUCAAAAGAAGACCGCGCCCUUCUUAGGGACUUACUGCAGGAAUUGCGCCCCCCGAAGGACCAACCAUGCUCUUCAGUGCGAGAGGGUAAACUAAUUGCUCUCCAACGCGAGAGGGUAAACCAAUUCCCCGACACCCACAUGGGUCAGCUCUCCAAGAACGGGAGGAUAAACUCUACACUCUGAAUAUCCAGACGUGGAUGAGCCGGGCUGCCCUAGUAUAACUAGAUGCACGAUGGCUUGCGCUGGGAUUCCUAGAAGUAGCCGCAAUGGUCUUUUUCAAGGCUUAGCUAACUGAAGGAUUUUGGGUCUCUUGGCCUAAUCCGUGGGGAACCGGGCCCUAGAGACGGAGAGGGCACAUUACACAGUACAUCCGAUGGACGACUGCCCUGGAAUCCUAAAGCUGCUACCGAGUGCACUAAGGUAGCCUACGGAUUCCAGAAGACUGCCUACGGCUUGCCCUUCGAGCAGUAAAGCUGCACUAGACUUAUACAACCACACAUUCUUGUGAAAGGUUAAACAAGCUAGCACGCAUAUACGAAGUUUUAUCCACUGCCGACAUGCUACGUAGUCGAUAAGCUUCACCUCUGCUAAGCGCGGAACAACCUACACCAAGUCCUAAAGUGUUGUGAUACUUGCUACGCAACCUACGGAAUUGGAGAAAGUCAAGGUUAACAGCCUAGUGGUUACGCGGACUUGUCUGCUUCUAUAAGUAAGGCAUCCGGCUGCCAACCCAAUGGCUAACAACUUUGCAAAGUUCUACACCAAAACCUACGGCUGCAUAGGCUACAUGAGCAUGUCUGCUUAUAAAAAAAUAGCAUGCUUGCCACUGGUCUAUCAAGUCUAAAGGUUAGGGCAUGAACAAAAGAAGCAAAAAUGAAGAAAAGCUAAGGAAAACAUGUUUAUAAACGACUAGCAAAGGCCGAAAGAGUUCAAGCAAAACAAGAGCUACAAAGAAAAUCUUAAAGGUUGCCUAGAUGACUACACUUUAGCAGCCUGGACAUCCGACGACUAUUCGGUCGCCACAUCUUCAGCAGCCGCGAAGCUCUUAGCAGCGGCAUCACCCCCGACUGCUCCAGCCUGGGCACCAACUUCUCCAACUACUUCACCAAUACCAACAUGGACGCGCUGCAGCUCAUCCACUUCUUUCUUCAAACUUUCGUUGAUAUUCAGUACACCUUGAAGUUCCAACAUUUGGGGUUCAAGCCUAUCGACGAUUCUCUUGAAGUGGAUCACUUGAUUAUAAGCAGCAAUCAACUUUUCAUCCUUUGCAUAAGCAGGGAAAGAAGUCUUUGGUUUUUUCUAAGCCGUUAUCUCUUGAACAGGCAGGGAAGAUCCCUUUUCCCACCUUCACAUGCAGCAGGAUCCACAGCGGUGAUUGGACGAGCCAAUGCAUCCGCCUUGAUCCUAUUCACCUCUUAUUUUGGGAGCAGCCCAUGUUUGUCCUGACGAAGAGAGUUAAAGUAGCCAACGCCAUUCAUGGUACCUAGCAGGGGAGUUCAACCCAACAUUCCAGCAGCUCAUGAGGCCCACAACCUUUUCAUUUCUCUCAAUCACCUGCCUAGCUCGCGUCAUGUCUAAAAGCCCAAAAAGACAUGAGCCAUGUGAUUCGCCUAGCACUGCGCCACAUCGCCACAAUCCGUGGCCUUAGCCAUACAAGCUGCCUUUGGUUCUAGCCAAGUCGAGCAGUUUAAAGCAGUGGUCCCUGCCACAAUACCUCAUCGGCCCAUGUCGAGCCGACUCCUGGCCCAUGCUAGCCAACAUGCCGCACCACCCCGACGGCUGCCCCAAGGUAGCACCAUCCAAGAAGAAGACAAGGAAAAUUAAUUUUUUCUUACCUCAGUGCGGCAUGAAGAAGACGAAGAAAGCAACGAAAGACGGUCCUUUGCACGUGCAAGAUGUAGAAAAUUGCUAGAGGAGGGGGAACAAAUAUCCUCUAAGCUAUCUCUCUCUUGUAGGAUACAAUAAAUCGUUCUCCAAAGUUGAUUUAAUAACCCACUUAAGGUGGACUUAAAUAGGAUUUGAGAGAAAUUUAUUUCCCUUUCCUAGAAGGAUCUAAUUUCCUAUUAAAGAGAGAAUCUACAUCAAAAUAGGAAGCAGUCCCACGUUUCCUAAAGCAAGAUGAUCUCUACACCUGCUGCAAUUUCCUACGAGCAGCCCAACAGGUGUGGGGGCAUUUGUGGAGCAAAAAAUAAUCACAAGGCGACACGUGGAUUCUUGGGUAAAAGAGGACAAAAAUACCCUUGAGGCAUACUGGGAUUCCUACGCGCGAGCAACGGGCAAUCAUCCCUAAACCAAGUCAAAAGUGCCCAAAAUAGAUAACAAUUUAAUGCCUAUUUCAUCAAAUCCUUUCUAUAAGGUAAUUCCUAAAACCAAAUUUAUUCUAUAUAUUUUGUAUUCCAUUAUUUAGCUAAUCAAUUAGCUAAAUGAUAUUUUCCUUUCAUAUUCCCUAAAAAUUGAUUAAUUAAGGGAUUAAUUACCUAAUCAAUCACUUAAUUAUCAAUUAAAACACCCAUUCACACCUAAAACUACUAAGAGGUCGGCCACCUCCCUUUUCCUAACCUUUUUCACUUUUCUCCAUUUUAUUACCCCAUAUACAAAUAAUCAAUUUUGUAACUCCUAAUUAAACCUAAAUUAAACCCAAAAAACCCAGCCACCUCCUAUCCCUAUAAAUAUACUCUCAUUCUCACCAAAAAAGCCAAUUCCAACACUUUGUAAAAAAUCCCAAAAUUCUCUAAACACUCUUUCUCUUUAAAUUCUAACUUUGGCAUCGGAGGUUUUUCGGCCAAAGCCCCCCCAUUCAUUGUGGGCGCGCGAGGCUCUUGGCCUUAACCUAAGGUGUUAAUUGUUUUGUAGGUGCAAAAUUGUCCAAGAUCAAGGAGGAAGAAAUUUGCAUCCACACGGGUCUUGCCAAGAAUCAUGCAAUUCAACACCAUCAAAUUAAUCGUCCCAUUAGGUAAAGUUUCCGGCUUUGCAACAAAACUCUAUAGUGGUGGAGCCAAAAAACCAGAUUAGGAAGGGCCUUUCAGCCAUAGAAAGAAAUGAGCCUUUAAAAUAUAAUUAAUGACGAGAAAUUAAAGGUUUUGUUUUUUGUAUUGGCAUGGAAAAUUCUAAUAAAACAAGAAUGGUAGAACUUUACAUUUUGUAUAGAAAACUUAGUAUUGAAAUAAUUAUAUCAUAUGAACAAAACUUGUUUCAAGCUUUGAUAAAAAUAAAAAAAAUAAAAAAUAGAUUCGAACAAAAAUCUAAGAUCAUGACUUAAUUAGAUUUUUCUCUAGACUAUUUAGGCCUUUGAUUUAUAUCAACUAGCUAAAAAAAAGUAUGAUUUUUAUAUGGUAAAACGUAAGGCAAAUUAUAACCAAAAAAAAGGAGGGCUUAGUUUUAUUAUGGGGAAAAAUAAGGCAAAGUAUAAGGAUUUUGCUUCCAAUUUAAUCACAGAUUGGAAAUGUGUUCAUCUGUAAUUUGCUAGCAGCAAGAGUUGUUGCUGAUUUUUUCAGCAGUCAAGUUUUGUUCCAAAAAAAUAAACAUCUAAACAGUGUCGGAGCACAAGCAAGUCUCCAACCGAGACCAUUUGGAUAUGCAAAAAGCCAAAAUCCAAUGAGCUACAUGCUCAUUUUGGUAAAAGCUUGCAGACAACAUAUAUAAGACCUGAAAUUUCAAGAUAGGCCAUCACUGGUCUCUAUCUGGCUCCGCCACUGAAACUCUACAAAUAUAAAAAUCAUAACCCAAUUUAGACGAUAAAUUUAUGGAAGCAUAUAAAUAGAGAAAUAAUUUGCUAUUUUAAAAAAUUAUAUCCAUGUAAUCAUAUAAUAUGUAGCAAACCUCGUUGAGAAGAAAUUGAGAAUUUUGUAAGAUGAAGACUUUGUGCACAUUUAUUUAUUUAUUUUUUCUGAUUUCCUAGAAUGAAAUGAGAUUUGGGGGAGGAUAUAUCGGCAGUUUAGUUUGAUAGAAGCUACUUUUUGCUCAACGUGGGUGCCGUUUUUCCAUUUUUCACAUUCAAUUUUUUUAUUGAGGGUUCAUCACGUCCAUUUUUUAAUUUUAUUUUCAUGUUUACAAUCAUCCUGCGUUUUUUUUAAUUGUAUUUUCUUAUUAUUAUACAUUUUAAUGGGUGGGAUCUUAAUCUCUCUCCUAAAAUGGAGGAGGAGUGGGGUUAAUAUCUCCUUAAUCAGCAUGUCUUAAAUGAAAGAGCAGUAUGGCUAAUCUCUCCUUAAUCGGCAUGUCUUCCCCCUUUUUUUUUAUUUUUUUUCCUUUUUUUCUUCUAAUAAAAGGAAUUAAAUAUUUUUUUUCUUUACACAAUUGCCCUUACUUUUUUUUUUUCAUAUUCUAGAAUAUGCCCACAAACAAAUUGUGUGGACAUUUUUACUUUUGUUUUUAAAAUUGAGGGAGAGAGGAAGAGAGUGAAAGAAAAACGUGGGAAUGGGGAGAGAUGGAUAGAGGUUUAUUUUUUUAUAUAUAUUUUUUUAAUUAGAGAUGAUAAAAUUACAUGUAUGUGAUGUUUAAACAAAACAAAAAAAUAAAUUUUUGUUUUAUGAAAUUAUGUUAUUGUCCUUAACUUUUUUUGUAGUGAUAAAAACAAAUGUCUUUUUCACAUUUUUUGGGUUGAUAAAGAAGGUUUCAAUAAUAUAGUACAUAUUUUGUAUCAAUAUGAUAAGUCGGUUUACAAGCAUUUUUAGUCCAAGUGUAAUGGUUGGGUUCAAGCUUAAAAUUUAAGUUUUAAAUCCCCCGAAAGCAUUUCCAGUCAUUAGGUUUUAUUAGGUCUUGGUGAGAAAAAAAACACCAUUGGCCCAGAUUCCGCCCACAAUUUAAUAUUUGUACUUAUCAAUUGACAUUCUUUCAUUUUAUUUUUUUUAGUUGAAAAAUUUUAUGAACUUUUGCACCGUUAUAUUUAAAUUAAGAUACUGCAAGUCUCUUAACUUGAAAAGAGAAAAAAGCAUAAACCCUAUUAAACCAUUAUUUAACUAAUAAAAUAGUAUAUAAUAAAGAAGUUAAUAGAAAACCUAUCGUAAAUACAAACAGAAUGACUUGCACCAAAGCCUAUUAAACCAAAAAGAAAUAAUGAGAAUGUAGAGAGGAUAUUAAUAUUUGUAAAUGCAAAGAAGUAAAUGAAACAUACACCCACUACUGGUCCAAAUUUGUAAUCCUUAUUUUAGAUUGUUAAAAUGAAACUCAAAAUGAACGAUGCUAAGUAUACAUGUAUGCUGUCUUUGCUUGCGAAACUCAAGCAGUUUACAAAAGCUAAGAAACUCUAUACUGAAUAGAAUUCUGUUUCGGAGACACUAGGGUUUCAAAUAUACUCCUUGCAGCAUACAUCAAAGAAAACCAAACGAAAGGACUGAAACCUUUCAUAGUCGGAUGGAGCAGAAUAUACUUCUUCCGUAUUUUCCCUAUGAAACCAACUUCAAAACUGAUUAUACAAAUUAAAAAUUUUCAAACAUUCAAUUACCUAGAAACCACAGUGGUGGAAAUGAAUUGAGCCAUUGCAUGAUAGCGUGUCUUCGAACCACAUCGGUGGCUAAUCUAAUAAAACUUAUCGUUUGACAAAAAAAAUUCAAUUACCCAGAAACCAAAAAUGGAAAUUUUAUUAAAUUAAAUUAAAAUAAACUCAUUGACAAAAGGAACAUAAAAAUGAAAAUUUCUACUAAAUUAAUUAAUACAAACUAAUGCACAAGAGGAGCAUAAACAACCUUUUGAAUUAAUCUAAAGAGAUACAAACUAAAAAUACCGGUCUUGCCAAGAAUCAUGCAAUUCAACACCAUCAAAUUAAUCGUCCCAUUAGGUAAAGUUUCCGGCUUUGCAACAAAACUCUAUAGUGGUGGAGCCAGAAAACCAGAUUAGGAAGGGCCUUAGAAAUUAGCCUUUAAAAUAUAAUUAAUGAAGAGAAAUUAAAGGUUUUGUUUUUUGUAUUGGCAUGGAAAAUUCUAAUAAAACAAGAAUGGUAGAACUUUACAUUUUGUAUAGCAAACUUAGUAUUGAAAUCAUUAUAUCAUAUGAACAAAACUUGUUUCAAGCUUUGAUAAAAAAUAAAAAACAGAUUUGAACAAAAAUCUAUGAUCAUGACUUAAAUUAGAUUUUUCUCUAGAAUAUUUAGGCCUUUGAUUUAUAUCAACUAGCUAAAAAAAAGUAUGAUUUUUAUAUGGUAAAACGUAAGGCAAAUUAUAACAAAAAAAAAGGAGGGCUUAGUUUUAUUAUCGGGAAAAAUAAGGCAAAUUAUAAGGAUUUUUGCUUCCAAUUUAAUCACAGAUUGGACACGUAUCCAUCUGUAAUGUGCUAGCAGCAAGAGCUGUUGCUGAUUUUUUUAGCAGCCAAGUUUUGUUCUAAAAAAAAAUCUAAAAAGUGUCAGAGCACAAGCAAGUCUCCAACCGAGACCAUUUGGAUAUGCAAAACGCCAAAAUCCAAUGAGCUGCAUGCUCAUUUUGGUAAAAGCUUGUAGACAGCAUGUAUAAGACCUGAAAUUUUAAGAUAGGCCUGGGCCAUCACUAGUCUCUAUCUGGCUCCGCCACUGAAACUCUACAAACAUAAAAAUCAUAACCCAAUUUAGACGUUAAAUUUAUGGAGGCAUAUAAAUAGAGAAAUAAUUCGCUAUUUAAAAAAAAAUCUAUCCGUGUAAUCAUAUAAUAUGUAGCAAACCUUGUUGAGAAGAAAUUACGAAUUUUGUAAGAUGAAGACUUUGUGCACAUUUAUUUUUUCUGAUUUCCUGGAUUGAAAUGAGAUUUGUGGAAAGAUAUAUCGGCAGUUUAGUUUGAUAGAAGCUAUGUUUUGCUCAACGUGGGUGCAGUUUUUCCAUUUUUCACAUUCAAUUUUUUUUUAUUGAGGGUUCAUCACGUCCCUUUUUUAAUUUUAUUUUCAUGUUUACAAUCAUCCUGCGUUUUUUUUAAUUGUAUUUUCUUAUUAUUAUACAUUUUAUGGGAUAUUAAUCUCUCUCCUAAAAUGGAGGAGGAGUGGGGUUAAUCUCUCCUUAAUCAGCAUGUCUUAAAUGAAAGAGCAGUGGGGCUAAUCUUUCCUUAAUCGGCAUGUCUUCCCCCUUUUUUAUUUUUUAUUUUUUUUCCUUUUUUUCUUCUAAUAAAAGGAUUUUUUUUCUUUACACAAUUGCCCUUACCUUUUUUUUUGAUAUACUAGUAUAUGCCCACAAACAAAUUGCGAGAAUUUUUUACUUUUGUUUUCAAAAUUAAUGGAGAGAGGAAGAGAGCGAAAGAAAAAUGUGGGAAUGGGGAGAGGUGGACAGAGGUUUAUUUUUUAUUUUUUUUUAAAUUAGAGAUGAUAAAUUCACAUGUAGGUGUGGUUUAAACAAAAAAAGUAAAAUUUUUAUUUGUGAAAUUACGUUAUUGUCCUUUUUUUUGUGAUAGAAAACAAAUGUCUUUUCAUACUCUUUUAGUUGACAAAGAAAGUUUCAAUAAUGUGGUAUAUAUUUUGUAUCAUUAUGAUAAUUCAGUUUACAAGAGUUUUUAGUUCGAGUGUAAUGAUUGUGUUAAAGCGUAAAAUUUAAGUUUUAAAUCCCCUAAAAGCAUUUCCCAUCAUUAGGUUUUAUUAAGUCUUGGUGAGAAAAAAAACCAUUAGCCCAAAUUCCGUCCACAAUUCAAGCCAUAACCGUUGGAGAAAAAAACUGUGUAUGGGUUAUGGCUUAAAAUUUUAAGCUUUAACUCACAUCAUUGCACCUGGUCUUCAAUUGGUUUGUAAUGCUCAUAAGCGUUUGUUCUACAAGUGCUUUCAUAGAGAAACAUUGGAUCUUUUAUUAAAUGUUCAAAUACUUAUUGGAAAAUCACUUGGAAGUGCUUCCUAAAUCAUCGGUUGCUAAAUGCGUUUCUAUAAAACGCUUCUAUGAUACAUAAGUAGUUCACAAAUGCUUCUAAUUACAAUUUUCUUUCUCGACAACCAUAAAGACUUCUGAUUGCCUUUGUCAAUAUAAUUUAUAACCGCUUACGGGUCUUAGAAGUGUUUUUCCUAAAGAAGCUGCCAUGUGAUUUUUUCAUAAAGUAGUUGGAUUUUCAAUAAGAUUUUUAGAUGAGUUUUUCUAAAGAAGCUGCUAUACAGGCCGUAUUCUUUUGGAUGAGUGCUGUGAUCCGUAUCCCAUAUCUGCAUCUGUACCACAUCGUCUGCUAGAUUGAGACGAGAAUAAGUCCUUGAAUCCACGACGUACUUAUCUAGCUUUGCUAAUGUUUACAUCCCGACUACCAUGAAAGCAUAAUAAAGUUAUGGCGGGUGCCCGGUGAAUAUAUGAGUAUCGAACAACUAAAGCACGCAGAAGUAUAAGCCGGACUCACAAGUCGGCAAACGCUCAUGCUUGUAAUCGAAGGGAGUCAGGGGACUGCGCUACAGAACUAACAGCCUCCUUAGCCUCAGCAGACUCAGCUGUUUUGCUGACUUAGUUCUGUAAUCGACAGCUUCCUUCCGUCAUUCCUGACUGCCAUGUAAGCCUCUCGCGCAGGUGAAGGUGAGUUUUAAUGGCAUGGCGGCAGGCCAUUCUGUCCCUCCCACCCUAAGUGGGGCCUCUGAGAAUCCCAAUUGCUUGAGCAGGAGGAAGAACAGAGAAGAUGGUUUUGGAGAAGGUAAACAGGUAAAAAGAACAUAAAAGAUAAAAUUCAAACAAGAUCAAACGGUGAAUCUAAGAGAGAAUUUAGAAAGAAAAUAGGCUUCAUUGGCAAAAUACUGGAAUACAAUGUUGAACAAAAUGACCAAGAUCACUAAACGUCCUACAUCUUGGAUUUUAGAAUACCAUAAAAAAAGUACCAAAUUUCAAAACUUAAACUAAGAAACACAUCUUGGCUCAACAAAAACAGCUACAUCGACUUCUUCCAUCUUGGGACCAGCACUGCUGCCACCAGCAGGAGGAACAUCUUCAUCCAUGGCACCACCGACAUCAGGUCUGCCAGCCCUGGUGCACCUUGGAAAUGAUCGGAUUGCAGAUGCUCUCCAGCUCCUUCAGCUUGUCCUCAAACUCGUCAGCCUCAGCAAGCUGGUUUUCAUCAAGCCAUUGAAUAGCCUGGUUGGUCUGGUCACUCGCAUCCUUGAUCUUCUUGAUCGUGUUCAUCAUGUUGAUAGCAUAAAUCACCAAAGUCUUCCCCAUGUUGCAGGCAUAAUUCUCCAAAGCAAUCUUGGCCUCCACCUUCUUCUUGUGCUUCUCAUCUUCUGACAUGUACUUCUUAGCCUCUUGAACCAUUUUCUCCAUUUCUUCCUUCGACAAUCUUCCCAUGUAAUUGGUGAUGGUAAUCUUCUUCUUCUGCUCUGUAGUCCUGUCUUUAGCAGAGACGUUGAAGAUACCGUUGGCAUCAAUACCAAAGCAGACAGUGAUUUGCGGAACACCCCUUGGAGCAAGAGGAAUGCCAGAAAGCUCAAAUUUUCCCAACAAGUUGUUAUUGCGAGUCCUUGUCCUUUCACCCUCAUAUACUUGGAUCAAGAUACCAGGCUGAUUGUCUGAGUAGGUAGAGAAGACUUGUUCCUUCUUGGUUGGAACGGUUGUGUUCCUUGGAAUAAACACAGUCAUCACACCUCCGGCAGUCUCCAAACCAAGGGACAAAGGAGUGACAUCCAGAACCAAUAAAUCCUUCACCUUCUUGUUACCCUCACCGCUCAAGAUGGCAGCCUGCACAGCGGCGCCAUAACCAACAGCCUCGUCUGGGUUGAUGCUUCUGCACAGCUCUUUGCCCUCGAAGAAGUCCUGCAACAACUGCUGCACCUUUGGAAUCCUAGUAGAACCGCCCACUAGCACAACAUCAUGGACCGAGCACUUGUCCAUCUUUGAAUCUCUCAAACACUUCUCAACGGGCUUCACACACUUUCUGAAAAGAUCCAUGUUAAGCUCUUCAAACCUAGCACGGGUAAUGGUUGAGUAGAAAUCGACACCCUCGUACAAAGAAUCGAUCCCAAUUGUGGUCUGAGAAGUGGAUGAGAGAGUCCUCUUUGCGCUCUCACAAGCAGUUCUUAACCUCCUAAGGGCUCUUGCGCUGCUGCUGAUGUCCUUCUUGUUUUUCCUCUUGAACUCUUGAACAAAGUGAUUCACCAUUCUGUUGUCGAAAUCUUCUCCUCCCAAGUGGGUGUCGCCGGCAGUUGCCUUCACUUGAAAGAUACCCUCUUCACCUGUGAGCAGGGAGACAUCAAAAGUGCCUCCGCCAAGAUCGAAAAUCAAGACAUUCUUCUCCCCAACGCUGGUUGCCUUCUUGUCAAGACCGUAUGCAAAAGCGGCAGCGGUGGGCUCAUUCAUAAUACGCAGAACAUUGAGGCCGGCAAUGACCCCAGCAUCCUUCGUGGCCUGACGCUGAGAAUCGUUGAAGUAAGCCGGGACAGCAACAACGGCAUUCUUUAUAGAUGAGCCAAGAUAGGCCUCAGCAAUCUCACGCAUCUUGAAGAGAACCAUGGAGGAAAUUUCUUCAGCAGUGAACUGCUUCUCUUCGCCCUUGUAUGUGACAACAAUCAUGGGCUUGUCACCGGGGCCGGAAAUGACCUUGAAAGGCCAAUGCUCCAUGUCCCUCUGAACAGAAGGGUCAGAGAAUCUCCUACCAAUCAACCGCUUGGCAUCUGAAAAAUUAACCAAGCUCGUUAAAAAAUACUAAUUUAUUAAUAAUUCAUAACAUAGAACAAGCUACAAUAUCAAGCUAAAUCAAUUAAAACUUAUCAAAAAUAAAAGUAACCAAAUAGAUCAUGCCAGACACUAAAAACUCGGAAAGCUUUUUUAAAUGGGUUUUUAUUACAAACAGUCCCUAAAAUUGAUUCAACUCAUCAAGAUGAUCCUUGAAAUUGAAAAUCGAUCAAUUUGGUAUAUGAAAAUGGGGGGUCAGAAAUCAAUGUGAUCAUUCUGUCACAAUUCCGUCAAACUCUAUUAUGUGUUGAUGUGGCACGUAAGUGGGUCUUACAAGACUAAUGAAUAUUGCCAUAUGGAUUAGAAAUACUUAAAAUAAUUAAAAAUAUAUAUUUUUGGAUAAUUACAAAAAAAAAAAAAAAAAAAAAAAAAAAAAACAGUCAUCUUCUUCUCCCACCCAAGGAAGCUGCACCCCUCCACUUCGGCUCCGAAUCAGAAACUUCAUGCCUGAUAUCUAGAAGCCCCAAAGCCCUUAAUAUCGCAUCCACCGCACAAUGAAGUGACACAUCCCCAUAAUUCGAAUACAAAAUUCAAAAAUUAAAUCGAAAAUGUAAUAAAAUAAAUUAAAAAAAUAUGAAAUUACGGGAAGAAAAAGCAGAUUAAUGGAGGAAUACAUUCAUCUUUUAUUUUAAUUUUUAUUUAUUUAUAAGUUUUUAAUUAUAUAAAUAAUUUUUUAAUUAUUUAAAUAUUUUAAAUCCACAGAGCAAUAUUUAAUUAUAUUUGUGGCACCUGUGCCACAAAGAAUAAGAAUUUUUGACGUAAUUGUAACGGAAUGACCACAUUGAUUAGCGACAUCAAUUUUCAGAGAAUAUUAACCUGCAAAGUUCAAAAAAUAAUUAAAAAAUAAAAAAUAAAAAAUAAACCUGCAAAAUUAUUUAUCACACCCAGCCUAAAAAAAUAAUUGUGUUUGGGAUAAAAUCUGAACUUUGGGCCAGAGAGAAAGUCGGCCCAAACCCAAGGCCCAGAGGAAAACUUAGGAGGCAGGAAAGAGGCUUUCGGCUGGGCACAAGUUACAAAGGCCACCUGCUUACCUGCUCAAAGACCACAGGGGGUAGGCUAUUCAGUCACUACAUAGCCCAAUAAAGUACUUUAUUGGUGGCAUUCAUGUAAAAAAGCUAGUGAGUCAUCACCAAACCGCAUUCGGGCACCGCUAUUGCUACAGGAACCCAAGCUGAAGUCGUCUAUAAAAGGAGGAAGAGAAGACAGAAUUAAAGACACUCAAACAAACAAACAAAAGCCAAAACUCUGCUCAAGCCAGAUUUGCCUUCAACGAAGCUGUAGUCAGCACAAGCCUUCAUCCCAUUCGGGAUAAACCUUCCCAAACCCCUGUAAUAGCUCUGCUACCUUGUUCAUGGUGGUAUCGAUUCAUUUUGUAUCCUCUUCUCCCCCGUCAACCCCUCUAAAAACUUUCAGACCUCUGACAGAGCCACAAAGAUAGAUUUUGUAAGAAGUUCAGCCUUGGCCGAUAAGGUUCAAACUUACCCGACUAUCUUUGCUCUGUCUUUGUCUUUUCUUUCUUUUAAAAGCACAAUAACAUGUUAUAUAUUCCCAAUUAUAUACAAGUUAUUUCUAGCAAAGUCAUAAUGAAAAUGAGUCUUCAGCACUUGAAUCCGAUCUGAAUCGCGUCAGAGUUCAAAUCAGAUCUAAGUCUUAAGCCCGCGGGCAUGUAAUUUAAAGAUCAGUAAAGUCCUUGGCCUCAAGGCAUAAAAAAGAACUCUAUGUGGACUCAACCCAUCCACGACAAUCCUUGAUAAGCGAGAAGUCCGAAGUUACUUGGGGCGCAAGUAAUCAAUCUAUUUCUCCGUUUUGUUGCUAUUAUAUCUUGAUUCGUAGAAAAGGCUUAAGCACGGAGUGAAUUCUGAUAGAAAGCCUCAAGGCCUACACCUAAGGCCCCCUAAGGCCCCACGAAGGCAUCUAUUUAGCUUCAUUUCAUGUUGCGGUCUAGUUGGUCCGAGUAUAAGGAUUAACUCUGAUGGGAAGCCUCAAGGCCUAUACCUAAGGCCCUACAAAGGCACUCAUUUGGGUUCGUCCUACCUCUUGGAUUCAGAUAAUCAAAGGUAUAAUAGUGAUAAGACUCUGGCAACCAUAAAAGACCAAAUAUGAUACAUCCAAGCGCUGGUUUAGGUUGACAGGAAGCCUCAAGGCCUAUACCUAAGGCCCCACAAAGGCACCUGUUAUAUCUAACUUGGUUUCUCGGGCGUAUACAUAUUCAAUCAAAGCUUAACACCCAUUCAACAUCUGCCAUACUAAAGAUGGCAGUGGCACGCCUGAGCACGACAAAGUUAAUCUUGAUUGUGAGCCUUAAGGCCUACACCUAAGGCCCCACAAAGGCACCCUUUCAAAUUAACUUUGUCCUUCUCUUUCAGAACUGCCCGACGAGCCUUGCCCGAAGUGUGUCUUGCCCGACCAAGAUCUGCCCGACAAAGGCUUGCCCAAGCGAGUCCGAGAAGAAAGCAGAAGUACGACAGAUACCCUCAACCGACGCCAUUCUCCCAGGGGAGCUGUGUACUCGUCCGCCAGGAGAUUCCUGCGACGAACAUAGUUUUGGCACGCCCGGUGGGACAAGAAACAGCUACACUUCUAAGAUCUUACAUGUCCAAAAAAGAGAAGCUAUAAACUUGCCAAAAAAGAAGCCAAGAAGGAUCUUUUCCAGAUGACAGAACAAUCAGAAAAUCCUUUAUCCCCAUCCGGACAGGUGGUCUCAGGUAGUUCGACUGCAUCUGAGAAAUCACAGGGGGAAGGGAUUAAUGAAGAACUGCAAGCUACAAUGAUCCAAGUGUUGAAAAGCAUGGAAAGAAUUUCCUUGGAGACUAAGGGAGAAGUAAAGCAGACUCUGCAUGCUUACAGGAAAUCUACAAAGGAGGCUGGAUUUGGAGUUCUCUACUCCAAAGGGUGCUCAAGGAAGUGGAAUGAGUCCAGUUGUUAUAAGAAGUGAGCCAAUCAUUUCUUUGUUUCCACUACUAGAAGAAGAAAAGGAUAGGGGAAAGAAGAAGGUGAUACCUGAAGAAAGUCAAGCAGUGAUGGAGUCAGCUUCAGAAAAGGAGUUUCCCAGCUUCCCAUUAUUAUCAUUUAAUAAUAGGAGGCAGAGCGAACAAGAAAGAAUGAAGUUUGGACUGCCAGCCACGGCUGGGAGAAACUAGCGGGAAAGAAACAACCACUACUACGUCAGAUAAACCUCUACCUUAUAGGCCACCCCCGAUGGUCAACAAAGGUGGAGGAUCUAACUGGAGAAAAUCUGAAACCAAGAGGGAAGCAAACGCGGGCAAUGACCGGAGUCCGAAGAUUGAGUCAGCUAUCCAUGGCCAGAAUGAUAAUUUAGCUACUCAGCAACUAAGAGAAGAAUUGGCUGAGUUAAAGAAGAACGGUGAUUCAAAACGCCCAGCCUCGAGUUCGUCCAGUAUUCAGGGUUACCUACCAGAAGCCAUAUCCUGAAUAUAUCGAUGAGUUAAAUCCAUUCCCUCUUAAUUUCAAGAUGCCCGCAUUCCCGACUUUCACAGGGGAAGAUAGCAGUGUGUCCUCCAGAGAUCGUAUUUUCAAAUUUUCUAAUCACUGUGUGGCGUAUGAGGACAAUCCAAACUACAAAUUGAGGUUGUUUGGAAAUUCACUAGCAGGAUUGGCAUCUCAAUGGUAUUCUCUAUUACCCCCCAAUUCCAUUGCUAACUGGGGGCAAAUGGAGAUGGCUUUCCAUGAACAGCUCUACAGGAUAGAGCCAGAGCUCACCAUUAAUGAUCUGGUAGAAGUGAAACAAUAUGAUCAUGAGUCCACCGAAGAUUUUAUGAUGAGGUUCAGGAGGACAAGGAUGAGAUGUCAGUUCCCUGUCAACCAGGCACAGCUCAUAUCCAUUGCUCAAAGGGCUUUAAAAUUACCUUUGAGAAAGAGGUUCUAUGAUGCACAGUUUAAUGAGCUACAAGAGUUGGUGAUUGCUGCUACUAAGUAUGAGAGGCUGUUACAGGAGGAACAGCAGGUAAAACAUACUUCCAAAACUCCUCCGUUCUACAAAAAUAAAGCUACUAUUCACCAUGUAGAAGUAGGGGAAGCCGGACCCGAAUGCAAAGAUGAUCAUGAGGACAAGAGUAUAGAUGUAUGUGCUGCUGAGAUGACCACACCCUUCAAGCCAUUGACGAUCAAAGGGUUAGUCCAACCAGUCAAGGACCAGAAGAUCGUGAUGAAUGAUGGUGGGUUCGUACCCAUGAAACCCCCAAAGUAUCAAAGUUAUUCUUUCGAUCUAACCAAGGCGCCAGAAAUCUAUGAAGAACUUGUGCGGGCAAGAGUCAUUUUGCCCGACAGCACCAAAAAGAUGCCCAAGCCCGAGGAACUCAGGGGGAAGAAGUAUUGUAAGUUGCAUUAUACCUUCAACCACUCUAUAGUCAAUUGUGUCCAGUUUAGGGACUGGGUACAUGAUCUUAUAGUGAAGGGGAAGUUACUACUCGAUUCACCUCAGGCUAGUAUGUUGGUGGAUACUAACCCUUUCCCCGAAGCUCCUAUUAGCAUGAUCGACCUCGUUUUCAAGGAGUCGGGGUUAUCAACAGAGUAAAAUGCCAUUGAAAGGACCCGGGAGCAGGGGCUAAGAUUGCCAACAAUAAAGAUGGAGGAGAAAAGCAGGUAGGCAAGGGGGCAUAGAGUUGCCUGAGGCCUAUCCAAAUGGAGCAGAACAGGAGGAAUGUUACAUAUCCAUUCUAAAACAAAAAGAGAUUACAAAGUAAUUCUAUUCCAAAAACUUUAUAUCUUCACAUAAGGUGAUUAUUCUAGAAUGGUAUGUUCGCAUGAUGGUAAAAAUUCUAUUUGGUUCAGCCAAGACAGUAUGGCUGUUUACAAGUUCAGACUUGGUUUGCUCUAACUCUGAAGUCGCUUUUUCCACCCCUUCGAUCUGUUGCUCAAGGUUAUCCAGAAGAGUUGUUUGCUUCGCCUUAAGGAUCAUCAGUUGUCUCUCCAACUUCUGAAUUUCAGAAGAAACAACUUCAAUCCGUUCUUUGGUCUGCAUACUCUCUUCCAUCAGCCGACUAACUUGGGUAGAGGAGCUCGAUUCUCUCUCUAUGAAGCAUUUUGCCCGGUUAGCCAGCCGGUCUGCUCUCUGAUGUUGCUCCCUGAGGGCCCUCAAGUUUUCAAAGAAAGAAAGGAAAGAAUCAUACUGAGGCUUAGAUAAGCGAUCGUUUUUAAAGAACUCAGUAAUGACUCUCUCGAGGUCACAGAGAGCCUUGAGGCUAAAUGAUGCAGUGAAUUCUUUCUUUGCCCAUGUUUGAAAGAUUUGUGUUGCUGCUCCGAAGACAUAGAUUUUGUUGAAGCCUGCUUUGAAGACUUCAACCGCGUCUCAAGUCGCCCGAGUGCUUCGAAGAGUUUGGGCAACUUGGCAGGAUCAGAGGAGGAAGGAGAAGGGUCCGGCAUAACAGUUUCUUCUGGUGAGAUAAUGCCUAUGGAAGGGGCAAUUUCUGUUUGUUCAAUCGGUUCAUCUCUAGACAGGGAGGUGUCAACAUCUCCAGAGGAAGAAGGAGGUUGAAAGCACCUUGGGUUACGGGCCAUUGGAGGAGGGGAAGUUUCUUUUGGGGAAGCUCGCUACAAAACUUCAGGAUCAGGACAAGAUGAACUAUACACAAAUCAAAACAAAAGAGGCUUUGGAGAGAAGAAAGUUACCUGACUUAACCCCGGGGUUUCACCAGAAAAUGCACUAACUCCUUGUCGAGGUGAAGAUUUUUCACCACCAGCGACAUAUGGGAAAGUUGUGCCUGAACCUGUGCCUACAUCCUGGUUGUAUCCAAAGAAAGUAGUGAUGAUCAGCAAAAGGUCACCAGAGGAAGAAACAAGAAGAAAAUAUUCCAGCACCUGAGGUUGAUCUUGAGGAGAAGGAGGUUCAUCGACCGUCUGGCGAGUAAGCGCUUGCGAAAUAGUUGUGUCUAAAGCUACAGGGAUCUCAGGAACUAUGGGUUCUUUAUCCAAGGCCACUGACGGGGAAAGGGGUUCAUAUCCCGAAGAUGGCUGCAAAGAACAUGGAUAGGAGUUACUUGGGUAGCAAUGUGCAAAGUUGAAAUGAAAAGAAAGAGUAACUCACCAAAGUAUCAUCCUCAUCCACAAAAUGCAACAUGAUUCUUGUGGAAGGAUCAAAUUGAGAAGAAGGGGUUGCAUCUAGGGCAGGUUGCGGAGAAAGACUUUCUUUCCUUGUAGCCUAAAGCCAAAUUAUUCAAAAUUCAGAAAGGUUUGAAAAUAAGAAAGUAUAAAGAUAGAAGUCAUACCUCUUUAAGCGUAGCAGCCCUUCGUGAUUCCUUCUUAGAAGCAAGGGUUGACCUUUUAGAAGCUUGAGGUCCUGUUGAGUGAUAAAGGGAUAAUCAGAUAAGGGAGAAAGGUAGCCAUUUGAUCCAGAAGAGGAGAGACUCACUGGAAGAUUGUUCUGUCUCUUUACCCGCUUCAGAAACGGGAGCAGAUGGGGCUGCUGGUUUAGGAGGCACGGUGACUCUUGCCCGCUUACUCUUUCGGGUAAGAAUUGGUCGUGUGGUUGCUGAAGGAAGCGCCGGAUCAGAGAUUGUGGUUUUAGUUAUGGCCACCCUCUUUCGUUUAGAUGCUUUGGUCGUAUCUUUGGCUAUUCUUUUAAUUGUUUCUUCAGCUCCUGAAUCCCCAAGAGAUUCAGAGACGUCUGUCCCUUCCCCGGCUUCCCGCCUUUCAGCUUCUGCUGCAGCACCAUGAAGAACUGCGGCAUCAGCAGAAUCAUUCUCUGAUUCGAUGGCUUCGGAUUCAGUAUCAACUGAAGCUGCAGAAACAGGUAAGAGUGAGGAAAGUAAACAACAAGGAAAGCAAAAUCGGAUGGGAAGAAAGUCACCUAUUAGGAGUAAUCAGUUUUUCUCUUGGAUCAUAUCUUUCCAAUUUGCAAGCUCGCCCGAGCUAGGAUAUGAUUUAAGAGAAAGCUGGCUGAAAAUACGAUCGUGGUUCACUUUCAAAUCUCCUCCGUAUUUUCUAGUCCACCUUUCCUCCCACCAAGAAGAAAACAGCGAGGUACAUUCGAAAUUAAGAACAACGGAAUGUCGGGCUGCUUGGCUCAUCACGUCCAAACUACGGCGGGCAGCUCGAAAUAUUGCUUCAGAAUGAGUCUGUAACCGAAAUGAAGUGCCACAAUGGAUGGAGUCGAAGAAUGGGACAGGUAUGGAUUGCCUAAAUCCUAAUUGCCUGCUGCAGAAGUUAGGAUGAUACACAUCCAAGCCUCGAUCAUACCGAUUUCCCCGGACCCCCCAGGCCAAGUCUCUUGGCUGAAUACAGCUGAUAAACUUUUCCCUGCAGAAGGGAGCAGCAUCCUCACCAGGGGCAUCUUGGAAGGCUUGGUCAGAAAACCAAGGAUAUCUCCUCAAGACCGAUGCACCCCAUUCCAAGUCUGACCGAGUCCUGCAGACUCGGAAAAAGUAGAAGAAGCAUGCAAAGGUGGAAUGAUCUACAGGAGGAGCUUCAGCCAGGAUUCGGGCAGGAGCCACACCCUCUGGAAACUCUAGAUUGAUAGCCCGAAAUUCUGGAAAAUACCAUUGUAGCCAAAUCUGUAUCAUCCAGAUGGGGCCGUUCAAAUUGGUCUCAAAGGGCUCAUCCCGGGUCAUGUCAAAAAGAAGGUGAUAGAGAUGGGAGAGAAGGAAUGGACCUGUGGUAACGUCAUCAAAAUUGUGAAGAACCUCUACCAAGGGGAUCCAUUCUACCCGUACCCCCUUGGAUUUGUUGGGGAAGACGUGCUUGUUAAGCCAGUAAAGAAGAAAGUACAUAUGCUCUUGAUCUUUGUCGGCUUGAGGAGAGCCUACCCCGAAGUUCUUCUUGACAAAAGGGAUGAAUCCUUUAAAGGAGGUCCCAUAACUUUUGAAAGUAACUGAGUUAUAGCUAAGAGGAAGGAAGUAGGUGGAAGAACUUGAGCCCCCGGUGGUAGAGGAUGGAAUCCAAUCUUGAGUAACAUCUAUCACCCUGCCCGAUGGCCUCAACCCGAAGACUUGGGCCAUAUCAAGAAUGGUGGGAGACAUGGGACCCAUACGGAAAUCGAAGGUGUUUGUGCCCGUAUUUCCAAAAGAGGAGGGCAGAAGCAAGCAAUUCGGGCUUAGGGGUAAUUGAAAUCUUCGAAAGCAUAAUCAGUUCGUAGAUGCCGUUACUCAUCCAUUUCUGCUUGAAGGAAGGUUCCAAUUCGUCAAUCCACUGGGCCCAGGCAAGAUCAUUCAUCAAGGGAAAGACUCGACGAUGAAAAGACCACUUAGAAGAAGAAAUGCCCGAGUCGGCCAAAUAAGGAUUUGGGGUAAACCAGUUUCCCCUAGGCAUAUUACUUUCUACUACUGAGGGAACCCGAGAAAUCCAGGCAGGACCCAAAGAUUGAACCCCAUGCAUCUCAAAGAAGAGUUCAGAAUGCAGACCUGCCCGCGGACGAUGCAGCCCGUUGAGCAGACGGCGUAGAGUGGCAAUUCCUUCACCAGACUCGUAGGAUGGUAGGGUUUGGCCGGAUCCUGAGGCCAUUUAAUGAAGGCCGUGGGGAAGAAAAACAAGGAGAACGGUAAAGAUACAACCUCGUCGGACAACGAGAAAGAAAUGAUGGAAGAAUUGGGAAGUUUUGUUGUAUCAGAGAAGGUUUUCUUUUUACGAAACACAGAGAACAGAGAAGUUCACUCACAAGGGUUCUAAGAGUUCUAAGGGUUUAAAGCAGGGGUCUCUUUCAAUUAAUAUUGGCGCCUGGGAUCCCAACCUUAACAUCAAUUGAAGGGGGCACUGUUUGGGAUAAAAUCUGAACUUUGGGCCAGAGAGAAAGUCGGCCCAAACCCAAGGCCCAGAGGAAAACUUAGGAGGCAGGAAAGAGGCUUUCGGCUGGGCACAAGUUACAAAGGCCACCUGCUUACCUGCUCAAAGACCACAGGGGGUAGGCUAUUCAGUCACUACAUAGCCCAAUAAAGUACUUUAUUGGUGGCAUUCAUGUAAAAAAGCUAGUGAGUCAUCACCAAACCGCAUUCGGGCACCGCUAUUGCUACAGGAACCCAAGCUGAAGUCGUCUAUAAAAGGAGGAAGAGAAGACAGAAUUAAAGACACUCAAACAAACAAACAAAAGCCAAAACUCUGCUCAAGCCAGAUUUGCCUUCAACAAAGCUGUAGUCAGCACAAGCAUUCAUCCCAUUCGGGAUAAACCUUCCCAAACCCCUGUAAUAGCUCUGCUACCUUGUUCAUGGUGGUAUCGAUUCAUUUUGUAUCCUCUUCUCCCCCGUCAACCCCUCUAAAAGCUUUCAGACCUCUGACAGAGCCACAAAGAUAGAUUUUGUAAGAAGUUCAGCCUUGGCCGAUAAGGUUCAAACUUACCCGACUAUCUUUGCUCUGUCUUUGUCUUUUAUUUCUUUUAAAAGCACAAUAACAUGUUAUAUAUUCCCAAUUAUAUACAAGUUAUUUCUAGCAAAGUCAUAAUGAAAAUGAGUCUUCAGCACUUGAAUCCGAUCUGAAUCGUGUCAGAGUUCAAAUCAGAUCUAAGUCUUAAGCCCGCGGGCAUGUAAUUUAAAGAUCAGUAAAGUCCUUGGCCUCAAGGCAUAAAAAAGAACUCUAUGUGGACUCAACCCAUCCACGACAAUCCUUGAUAAGCGAGAAGUCCGAAGUUACUUGGGGCGCAAGUAAUCAAUCUAUUUCUCCGUUUUGUUGCUAUUAUAUCUUGAUUCGUAGAAAAGGCUUAAGCACGGAGUGAAUUCUGAUAGAAAGCCUCAAGGCCUACACCUAAGGCCCCACGAAGGCAUCUAUUUAGCUUCAUUUCAUGUUGCGGUCUCUAGUUGGUCCGAGUAUAAGGAUUAACUCUGAUGGGAAGCCUCAAGGCCUAUACCUAAGGCCCUACAAAGGCACUCAUUUGGGUUCGUCCUACCUCUUGGAUUCAGAUAAUCAAAGGUAUAAUAGUGAUAAGACUCUGGCAACCAUAAAAGACCAAAUAUGAUACAUCCAAGCGCUGGUUUAGGUUGACAGGAAGCCUCAAGGCCUAUACCUAAGGCCCCACAAAGGCACCUGUUAUAUCUAACUUGGUUUCUCGGGCGUAUACAUAUUCAAUCAAAGCUUAACACCCAUUCAACAUCUGCCAUACUAAAGAUGGCAGUGGCACGCCUGAGCACGACAAAGUUAAUCUUGAUUGUGAGCCUUAAGGCCUACACCUAAGGCCCCACAAAGGCACCCUUUCAAAUUAACUCUGUCCUUCUCUUUCAGAACUGCCCGACGAGCCUUGCCCGAAGUGUGUCUUGCCCGACCAAGAUCUGCCCGACAAAGGCUUGCCUGAGCGAGUCCGAGAAGAAAGCAGAAGUACGACAGAUACCCUCAACCGACGCCAUUCUCCCAGGGGAGCUGUGUACUCGUCCGCCAGGAGAUUCCUGCGACGAACAAAUUGCUUUCAAGGAAAUUGAACUCUUUUUCUCAGAAAUUCAGGCAAUAGAAAUCUAAAAACAGCAAAGUUUAAACAACCAGCAAAUAUUGACAGUAAAAUUCGUAAAAUCAGCAAGACAAGCAGAGAUCAAACAGUACGAGGCAAAAAAACAUCACAUAAAAAAAUUUCGCAAGAAAAAGAAGGUAUCUCGAUUCUUGCCCAGGACGGUGUUGAUGGGGUUCAUUGCGCCUUGGUUCUUGGCCGCAUCGCCGAUCAACCUCUCCGUAUCAGUAAACGCCACGUAAGACGGCGUCGUGCGGUUGCCCUGUUCAUUAGCGAUGAUCUCGACGCGGUCGUGUUGCCAAACAGCGACGCACGAGUAACUAGUUCCGAGAUCUAUACCGAUCGCUGGCCCCUCUCCCUUUACCGCCAUUGCAACCGCUGAUAUUCAAUCAAUCAAAGAACCGCAGAGAAAAGUAAAGAGCUUUUGAGCUUUUGAGAUAGGUAAAGAAACUUAGCCAGGACGAAAUAAAUUCAGUUUGUAGAAUUUUAUUUUCUUUUUACAUUUGUUGGCGCGUAAAGACAUUCUUAUAGUUAUAAUACAGUUAUAAUACUCUAAGUGCACGUACAAUGUUUAAUUUUAAUAUUUGUACUUGUCAAGAGAUAUUCUUUAAUUUUAAUUUUUUUAGCUAAAAAUUUGUAUGAACUUUUGCACCGUUAAAUUUAAAUUAAGGUUAUGCAAGUCUCUCAACUUGAGAAAAUCACACAAAACCUGUUAAACCAUUAUUUAACUAAUAAAUUAGUAUACGAUAAAGAAGUUAAUAGAAAGGUAACCUAUUGUAAAUACAAACAGAAUGACUGCACUAAAGCCUAUUAAACCAAAAAGAAAUGAAAAGAAUGUAGGUAGAAAAUUAAUAUUAGUAAAUGAGAAUUAAUAUUAAGGAAAACUAAUAAAAAUGGUUUAAAAACUUUGAGUUUUAACGAUAAGGACAAAAUAAAAAGUAAAGUGAAUAGUACCGAGAUCACCAAACAUAAAGGAUAAAAUUCAAACAAUAUCAAACAGUGAAUCCAAGAGAGAUAAUUUAGAAAGAAAAUGGGCUUCAUUGACAAAAUACUAGAAUACGAUGUUGAACAAAAUAACCAAGAUCACCAAACAUCCUACAUCUUGGAUUUUAGAAUCCCAUUAAAAAAGUACCCAAUUUCAAACCUUAAACUAAGAAACACAUAUUGGCUCAACAAAAACAGAUUCAUUGACUUCUUCCAUCUUGGGACCAGCACCGCUGCCACUAGCAGGAGGAACAUCUUCAUCCAUGGUGCCACAGACAUCAGGUAUGCCAGCCUUGGUGCACCUUGGCAAUGAUUGGAUUGCAGAUGCUCUCCAGCUCAUCCAGCUUGUCCACAAACUCGUCAGCCUCAGCAAGUUGGUUUUCAUCAAGCCAUUGAAUAGCCUGGUUGGUCUGGUCACUCGCGUCCUUGAUCUUCUUGAUCGUGUUCAUCAUGUUGACAGCAUAAAUCACCAAAGUCUUCCCCAUGUUGUAGGCAUAAUUCUCCAAGGCAAUCUUGGCCUCUACCUUCUUCUUGUGCUUCUCAUCUUCUGACUUAUACUUCUUAGCCUCUUGAACCAUCUUCUCUAUUUCUUCCUUCGACAAUCUUCCAUUGUCCUUGGUGAUGGUAAUCUUGUUCUUCUUCCAUGUAGUCCUGUCUAUAGCAGAGACGUUGAAGAUACCAUUGGCAUCAAUAUCAAAGCAGACAGUGAUUUGCGGAACACCCCUUGGAGCAAGAGGAAUGCCAGAAAGCUCAAAUUUUCCCAACAAGUUGUUAUCGCGAGUCCAUAUCCUUUCACCCUCAUAUACUUGGAUCAAGAUACCAGGCAGAUUGUCUGAGUCGGUAGAGAAGACUUGUUCCUUCUUGGUUGGAACGGUCGUGUUCCUUGGAAUCAACACAGUCAUCACACCUCCGGCAGUCUCCAAACCAAGGGACAGAGGAGUGACAUCCAGAAGCAAUAAAUCCUUCACCUUCUUGUUACCCUCACCGCUCAAGAUGGCAGCCUGCACAGCGGCGCCAUAAGCAACAGCCUCAUCUGGGUUGAUGCUUCUGCACAGCUCUUUGCCCUCGAAGAAGUCCUGCAACAACUGCUGCACCUUUGGAAUCCUAGUAGAACCGCCCACUAGCACAACAUCGUGGACCGAGCUCUUGUCCAUCUUUGCAUCUCUCAAACACUUCUCAACGAGCUCCAUACACUUUCUGAAAAGAUCCAUGUUAAGCUCUUCAAACCUAGCACGGGUAAUGGUUGAGUAAAAAUCGACACCAUUGUACAAAGAAUCGAUCCCAAUUGUGGUCUGAGAAGUGGAUGAGAGAGUCCUCUUUGCCUUCUCACAAGCAGUUCUCAACCUUCUACGAGCACUUGGGCUGCUGCUGAUGUCCUUCUUGUGUUUCCUCUUGAACUCUUGAACAAAAUGAUUCACCAUUCUAUUGUCGAAAUCUUCUCCUCCCAAGUGGGUGUCUCCGGCAGUUGCCUUCGCUUUAAAAAUACCCUCUUCAACUGUGAGCAGGGAGAUAUCAAAAGUGCCUCCGCCAAGAUCGAAAAUCAAGACAUUCUUCUUGCUAACGCUGGUGACCUUCUUGUCAAGACCAUAUGCAAAAGCGGCAGCGGAGGGCUCAUUCAUAAUACGCAGAACAUUAAGGCCGGCAAUGACCCCAGCAUCCUUCGUGGCCUGACGCUGAGAAUCGUUGAAGUAAGCCGGGACAGUAACAACGGCAUUCUUUAUAGAUGAGCCAAGAUAGGCCUCAGCAAUCUCACGCAUUUUGAAGAGAACCAUGGAGGAAAUUUCUUCAGCAGUGAACUGCUUCUCUUCGCCCUUGUAUGUGACAACAAUCAUGGGCUUGUCACCGGGGCCGGAAAUGACCUUGAAAGGCCAGUGCUUCAUGUCACUCUGAACAGAAGGGUCAGAGAAUCUCCUACCAAUCAACCGCUUGGCAUCUGAAAAAUUAACCAAGCUCGUUAAAAAAAUACUAAUUUAUUAAUAAUUCAUAACACAGAACAAGCUACAAUAUCAAGCUAAAUCCAUUAAAACUUAUCAAAAAUAAAAGUAACCAAAUAGAUCAUGCCAGACACUAAAAACUCGGAAAGCUUUUUUAAAUGGAUUUUUAUCACAAACGGUCAUUGAAAUUGAUUGAACUUAUCAAAAUGAUCAUUGAAAUUGAAAAUCGAUCAAUCUAAUCCAUAAAAACGGGGUCGGAAAUCAAUGUGAUCAUUCUGUCACAAUUCUGUCAAACUCUGUUAUGUGCUGAUGUGGCACAUAAAUGGGUCUCACAAGACUAAUUCAUAUUGCCACAUGGAUUAGAAAUACUUGAAAUUAUUUUUGAAAAAAAUAUUUUUGGAUAAUUAAAAACUUAAAAAAAAAAAUAGCCAUCUUCUCCCACCCGAGGAAGCUGCACCCCUCCACUUCGGCUCUGAAUCAGAAACUAUGCCUGAUAUCCAGAAGCCCCAAAGCCCCUAAUAUCGCAUCCACCACACAAUGAAGUGACACAUCCCCAGAAUUCGAAUACAAAAUUCAAAAAUUAAAUAAAAAAUGUAAUAAAAUAAAUUAGAAAAUGUGAAAUUACGGGAAGAAAAAGCAAAUUAAUGGAGGAAUACAGUCAUAUAUAUAUAUAUAUAUAUAUAUAUAUUUUUAAGUUUUUAAUUAUAUAAAUAAUUUUUAAUUUAUUUAAAUAUUUUAAAUCCAUAGAGCAAUAUUUACUUAUAUUUGUGGGAACCAGUUAUGUGCCACAAAGAAUUUUUGACGGAAUUGUAACGGAAUGACCACAUUGAUUUGUGACACCAAUUUUCAGGGAUUACAUUGAUUGAUUUUCAAUUUCAUGGACCAUCUUGAUAAGGUAGAUCAAUUUAAGAGACCAUUUAUGAUAAAAACCAUUUUUAAAAUUUCAUCCAACAAUUUACAAGAAACUUAAAACCCAAAUUAUAAUUUUGAACAGAUUAACUAAAACUCGUGGCCGUGACCACCAAUUAUAAUAUUUGAUAGUCCAUUAAUAUUAACUAAACAAAUCCUGCAAAUAAAAAUAAAAAAUAAAUAAACCGAUCAAUUCGCUAUAAAAAGAUUCAAGGCACAACAAACCCUGCACAAAAUUAACCUGCAAAGUUAUUUAUCAGACCAAGCCUCAAAAAGAUAAUUACUUUCAAGGAAAUUGAACUCUUUUUCUCAGAAAUUCAGGCAAUAGAAAUCUAAAAACAGCAAAGUUUAAACAACCAGCAAAUAUUGACAGUAAAAUUCAUAAAAUCAACCAUACAAGCAGAGAUCAAACAGUACAAGGCAAAAAAACAACAUCACAUAAAAAAGAAAGUAUCUCGAUUCUUACCCAGGACGGUGUUGACGGGGUUCAUGGCGACCUGGUUCUUGGCCGCAUCGCCGAUCAACCUCUCCGUAUCAGUAAACGCCACGUAAGACGGCGUCGUGCGGUUGCCCAGAUCAUUAGCGAUGAUCUCGACGUGGUCGUGUUGCCAAACAGCGACGCACGAGUAACUAGUUCCGAGAUCUAUACCGAUCGCUGGCCCCUCUCCCUUUACCGCCAUUGCAUCAGCUGAGAUUCAAUCAAUCAAACAAGCAAAGAACCGCAGAGAAAAGUAAAGAGCUUUUGAGAUUUUUGGGCGAUAGGUAAAGAAAGUUAGCCAGGAAGAAAUUCAGUUUGUAAAAUAUUCCCUCCCUUCUGCAUGUGCGUAUGAAAGACGCUACGCGCGGCGUGUAGAAUUAUAUUUUCUUUUUACAUUUGUUGGCGCAUGAAAACAUUCUUAUAGUUACAAUGCGCGAAGCGCACGUACAAUGUUUAAUUUUAAUAUUUGUACUUGUCAAGAGACAUUCUUUAAUUUUAAUUUUUUUAGUUGAAAAUUUGUAUGAACUUUUGCACCGUUAGAUUUAAAUUAAGACUAUGCAAGUCUCUCAACUUGAGAAAAUCACAUAAAACCUGUUAAACCAUUAUUUAACUAAUAAAUUAGUAUAUGAUAAAGAAGUUAAUAGAAAGGUAACCUAUUGUAAAUACAAACAGAAUGACUGCACCAAAGCCUAUUAAACCAAAAAAAAAUGAGGAGAAUGUAGGUAGAAAAUUAAUAUUAGUAAAUGGGGAUUAAUAUUAAGGAAAACUAAUGAAAAAGGCUUGAAAACUUUGAGUUUUAACGAUAAUGAUAAAAUAAAGGAUAAAGUGAAUAUUACUAGGAUUGACUUCUUGGUGUAAAUGUGGUUUUUCGUUAAAGUGAACAGUAUUGGGAGAUUUUCAUUAGAGUUCCCUUAAUAUUAAUGGUCCAAAUCUGUAAUCCUUAUCUUAGAUUGCUAAAAUGAAACUCAAAAUGAACAAUGCUAAGUAUACAUGUGUAUGCUAUCUUCGCUUGCGAAACUCAAGCAGUUUGCAAAAGCUGAGAAACUCUAUACUGAAUAGGACUUUGUUUCGGAGACUCUAGGGUUUCAAAUAUACUUCUUGCAGCGUACAUCAAAGAAGACCAAACGAAAGGACUGAAACCUUUCAUAGUCGGAUGGAGCAAAAUAUACUUCUUCUGUAUUUUCCCUGUGAAACCAACUUCAAAACUGAUUGUACAAAUUAAAAAAUUUCAAACAUUCAAUUACCCGGAAACCAAAAAUGAAAAUUUUAUUAAAUUAAAUUAAAAUAAAUCAUUGGCAAAAAGAACAUAAAAAUGAAAAUUUCUACUAAAUUAAUUAAAAUAAACUAAUACGCAAGAGGAACAAAGGCAACCUUUUGAAUUAAUCUAAAGAGAUGCAAACUAAAAAUACCGGUCUUGCCAUCAAACAGUGAAUCUAAGAGAGAUAAUUUAGAAAGAAAAUAGGCUUCGUAGGCAAAAUACUGGAAUACGAUGUUGAACAAAAUGACCAAGAUCACCAAACAUCCUACAUCCUUCAUCGACUUCUUCCAUAUUGGGACCAGCACCGCUGCCACCAGCAGGAGGAACAUCUUCAUCCAUGGCGCCACCGACAUCAGGU